RNAcentral lists this long non-coding RNA (68942 nucleotides) under Olea europaea (common olive). RNAcentral's name for it is "long non-coding RNA (OEUR_LNC006225)". The record is from RNAcentral. Lineage: Eukaryota; Viridiplantae; Streptophyta; Magnoliopsida; Lamiales; Oleaceae.
AAUACUGUUUGUUAUAUAUGGCCAUAUAUCCAGAAUAUCACUUGAUAAAGUGUGACUCCUUGAUUCGCCUAUGGAUAAUGGAAGGUUUUGUGAACGAAGAAAAAGAAGGAUGGACAGUGGAACAAGUUGCUCAAGACUACCUAAAGGAGCUUGCCAAAAAAAACUUGGUCGAAGUGGUGAAGGCUAAAGAGAAUGGAAGCAUAAAAUCUUGCCGCAUAAAUUACUUUAUCAGGGAGAAUCUUCUGAAUAAAGCAAAACGUCAAAAUUUUUUUAUGACAGUCGGCAAAAAUUCCAAUGGUCAAUGGAACAGCAAAGCUCGUCGCUUAUCAAUCAAUGGCCGUUGGGAAAACUUUAAUCCUCAAAUGUCUGGUAAAAAACUCCGUUCUUUGCUUGCAUUUGAUGUGACUGAUUCGUCAUCAAUACUUGAGCUACUUAAGAGUUGUAUGAUGCUUAAAGUUUUAGACCUGUCAGGAUUACCUCUAAAAUCAUUCCCAAAGGUGAUCACCGAGCUCCUACUUUUGAAAUAUCUAUCUUUGAGGCAUACAGAAAUUGAAUCACUUCCAAGGUCAAUCAAGAAGCUUCAAGAACUAGAGACGUUAGAUCUUAAACAUUCACUUGUCACUGAGUUGCCCGUUGAGAUCUUACAACUCCGAAAACUGAGACAUCUCAUAAUAUGUCGCUAUGGAUGCUGUGAUGUACAUUCAGAUGUUCAGAUCAACAACGUUCUUGGUUUCAAGCUACCAAAUGGAAUUGGAUCUCUAAAGUCUUUAUACGAACUCUCUUUAGUCGAGGCAAUCCCCGGCACAAUAAUAGAGAUAGGGAACAUAAAGGAACUAAGAAGGCUUUUCAUAUUCAAAUUGGGAAGAGAGGAUGGAAUGGUGGUCUGUUCAUCCAUUGAAAAGCUCCAAAAUCUUCAAUCGUUAGCCUUGUUUUCAAAGGCAGAAAAUGAGAUCCUUGACCUGGAUCACAUUUCAUCCCCUCCUGCAUCCCUUCAGGAGCUCUCUAUGUCAGGACGUUUAGAAAAAUUUCCGCAUUGGAUAAAAUCUCUCAACAACUUGGUUAAACUUUAUUUUAGGUGGAGUCGGUUAAGAGAUGAUCCACUCCAAUAUCUCCAAGAUUUGCCAAGCUUAGUCCGUCUUGAACUUCAUGAUGGAUACGUUGGUGAAGAACUAUGUUUCAAGGCGGGAAAGUUUCAAAGUCUUAAAAGGUUAUAUCUUGACAAGUUGAAGCCUCUGAAACAGGUGGUAAUUGAGGAGGGAGCAAUGCCAAAUCUGAAAAGAAUGAAGAUUCAGCGGUGCAAAUAUCUGGAAAGUGUUCCAUGUGGAAUUGAACGCCUUACCAAGAUGAAAGUUCUUAAACUUUUCUACAUGAGCCAACAGUUUAUUGAGAAAUUGACUGCUGAAUAUUCCCAUAAAAUUGCACACAUUCCUAAAUUACAGUUUUGGGAAAAAGAUGCAUUGGAAACAGAUGAAGAUUGAGUUUUUAAUUAUCUUUGCGUUAGUAUUUUAUUCAGAUUUUAAUUUUCUUUAUUUCGGAAUAAUUCUGAACAUUAGGAAUUUUAAUUUCGCCCCUACCUUUAAAUUUUCAUAAUUAUCUAGAUUUAGCGUUGAUCAAAAUAAAGGUUGUAAGCUUUAAUUGCAAGUAGUGGUUUUCGAAUAAAUAUUAUAGCGAUUGAAAAUUUUUAAUCUCUUAAAUUCUUGGUAUUUGAUGCUUAAAAUCAAUGAGUCCAGUUUCUCCGUAUUCAUGCACAAAUCAGAGAGUUUUGAUGCCUAAAUUUCUAGCAUUGUUAGGAAUCAAUAGAAAUUAGAAGCUGAUUUUGUUGCAAUAAUUAUUUGAAAUCAGCGAAACUUGUUGCUUCCGCCCUACAUCAUAAACUCAUACAUUAGAGACCAAGCAUGAAAUUAGUACCCAUAAUCGGCUUCUAAUGAAACUCAUCCAAUUUAUUUUAACUUAGAAUCAAUUGUAGAACGGACUCUAGUUCAUCAAAACACUGCACAAUAUACUACAAUGGCUAAAUAUGUGAUUGAGAAUGUGUAUUUGCGAUGUUGAAAUAAAGUGUACUUCAGUUAUAGUUUUGCGUAGAGAUUUAAUUACUUUGGCAAUUUUUUUCACAAUUUUUGUUAUUCUUCAAUAAUGCAUCUCUAGCUAUGUUCUUCUUAUUUAACUAAUAUUUGUUAUACAAAGAUAAAUUUUAUUAAAAUGCAAUAAAGGAUCUUUAACUUGUAUUCCAUUUUGAUGCUCAACCUCCAAAACGGAGCAUCUAAGUUUAGUAUUUUUGUGGACCAGGCUCAAGCAUACUCAACUGAACUUGUAAUCAUAAAUUUUAAUGCAAAUAAUGUCUUUAUUAACGCAUAUUUGACAAGAUGAUCCAUUCUCUAAAAGAUGAGUUGAUUUAAAAUGUUUUGGAUUUUAUUGUUCAUUUGUUAGAUUUUGCUGUAAUUAAUCAAUGUGUAUUGUCUCCAUCAUCGUGUGGUAUGAGUUCUACCAUGUCACAUUAUCUUCCCACUCACUUGAACACCGACUUACUUGACGAGUUAGGGAAACCUACAAAGGUUAAUUCUAAAGGACUAACUAACUUCAUACUAGAUGUGAUAGGAGAAUUCAAAGAUAUGCUCUAAGAUUGAUGCAUCAGUAUUUGAUCAUGGUGAUGUGAUGAAACUUGUUGCUUGUACUCUAUUUGGGUCUCAAGGUAUAAAUUUCCAGUUGUUGUUAAAUGGAAAGGCGACACCAACGUGUUUCUCUUGGGUAAUCAAUCCCAGCUAAAUCACAAUUCGGGAAGCUUUCUGAGAAGACUACUCAAGUAGUUGUAUAUAAUUGUGGAAAAGAGAGCCAAAUUUAUUUGGAUGGUUAUGCAUCAGUGGACUCCCCGAAUGUAUUGUUUUCGUUGCGAAGAAUUGGGUGAAGGGUGAUCCAAGAUUCGAGGACGUAUCUAUUGGAAAAUUAUAUUCGUGUUUUCUCCCAUGAGAAUAUUGAAAUCAUAUAUUUACUUGUCAAAAAAUGAUGUUUGGGUGAAUAAAAAAUUUGAGUUCUAAUUGGACCCAAUUGGACGAUGUGUUGGAGAAAAAACUAUCAUAGUUUGUUCUAAAUAGGAAAAAUAAAUAAGGCAAAGACUAAUUUAUAUAUGGUUACAUUAAUUAUAAACAAUGUACAGACUUUCUUUAUAUGCAUGGGCUAGGAGAUGCAAAUCAAGAACUGGAUUACCACCUCUCUUCAUUAAAAUUGUGUGUGAGCGCGACCUAUAUGUUAAGACUUAAGGUUCUAUCUUAAAAUGUUAACCUUGUUAAAAGAAGUAUCCCAAUACAUUAUAAGUUGGUUUAUAUUUUUAUCUUUAUUCGAUGUGGAAUUAUAUCCUUAACAUGCCCCCGCAAGAUGUUGGCUCGUUUGAGCAGACCAAUCUUGAAAUUCGUUUGCUCAUUUAUUGAGUCUUAAUCAGAUUGAAUCGUUCAUUUGAACUUAAAGAGCUUUAAUACCAUGUUAAGAUUUGGAGUUCCAUUUUAGAAGGUCAACCUUGUUAAGAGGAAUAGCCCAAUGCCUCAUAAGUUGGUCUAUAUUUUCAUCUUUAUUCGAUAUGAGAUUAUAUCAUUUUACACUAUAUACAUGAAUUUUGAACCUUUGGUUGACCCUUAAGAAAGGCCCACAUUUUGCCUUUAAUUCUAUAUUUGUUUUUAAUUUUUCUCCAACUAAAUUUUCAACUUCUAAAACUCUUUUAUUUAAUGGUCUAUGUUAAUGGAGAAGUUACAUAGUCAGGUUCAUGGUGAUGUGUUAAUAAUAGUAACGCACAUAACAAUUGAGCAGUUAAGCAACUUAUUCUUAGAACCUAUAACAUCAAUAGAAUUUUUUCACUGACAAAAUUUCCUUCUUUGUCUUCUAUUUUUUGUGUACCAAAUAUUUUCUAGUCUAUAUCCCUAAAUUCUCGAGAGAGAUAUUCACCACCUUAAUCUAAUCAUGUCUUAAUACUCUUACCUAAAUGUUUCUCGACAUUGGUCUGUUACUUUUUGAAUUUUUUAAAAGCAUCUGAUUUUCGAGCCAUUAGGUAGAUGAAUUCAAAUUUAGAAUAAUUAUCUAUAAAGGCGAUAAAAUACUCAUAGCCCCUUCUUGCAGGUGUAUUCACAGGUUCAUAUACAUCAGAAUGAAUUAGUUAUAAUACUUCUUUAGCUCUUUCUCCUUUUGCUAAAAAGGGUCUCUUUGUCAUUUUACCUUCAAAACAAGAAUCACAAACUGAUAAUGGUUCAAUCUUAAGUGUGUUCAAUGGACCAUCUAUAGCCAAUCGUUGUAUCUUGUUAAGGUUAAUAUGACGAAAUCUAAGAUGUCAUAGAUAUGUGUUACUAGUAUGGUAUGACUUUUUUUUAUGGUUUGCAGAAGUAACUGUUUAUUUUAUUUGUGGAACAAUUUAAAAUAUAAAAGCCAUUCACCAAAUAUUCAGCACAAAUAAGAACUUCGUUCUUUAAAAUAUAAAGCACAUCAUGUGCAGAAUUUACAGAAUAACAUUGUCCUAUUGUCAGUCAAAUUCCACUUCAUUCGCGGGACAUAAUAACAGUCUCUAAGAACUAAAUAUCACUGCUACUGAAACAAAAGUAAAUUACUCUUAUAAUUCUCAUUGAAACUAUAGAUCCUGUGUCGAUGAUAAUUUUAAAUUGGCCCUCAUUAAGUCUUUUGCUCUCUUGAAUCACAUGUAUAAACAUACAUAUAUAAUUAGUGGUUCCAGAGUCUACAACUUAGGAAUUUGUAGAAUUAACCACUAAAUAUGUCUCAACAAUACAAAAAUCACCAGCACCCUGCUUUUUAGCCAAUGCAUCAUAAGAGUCUUUCUUUUAGUGUCAUUUGUGACCACAGUGGAAACAAUUGCCUCUCGGCAUUCCAUCUAAUUUGGGCUUUUUGUUGCUACUUGACUUCUUGUUAGGUAUCUUCCCAUUUUUUCCAACUCUGCCUUUUUGCUUGGAACUAGAGGAGCUAGCAAUUGCUGAAUGAGCGUGGCUACCUUUAUCAUUAAGACUAGUUCCACAUUUUACAACUCAUUCAUCAACUUAAUCAAUGCUAAUUCAUCUUGGGGUAUAAGGAGGGCGUGCUACCGGUACGUUAUCUUGGUGUUCCGCUUAUCUCUACCAAAUUGAGGGCUUUGGAUUGUAAGAUGUUGGUGGAUCGUAUUAUAGCUAGGGCUAAGAGUUGGACCUGUCGAGCGCUCUCCUAUGCAGGGAGGUUACAACUUAUUAAGUCGGUGUUAUUUUCUAUUCAGGUCUACUGGUCCUCUGUAUUUCUUUUACAUAAGGCUGUGAUCAAGCAAGUGGAAAAUUCAUUGCGGGCCUUCUUGUGGAAGGGUAGUGACCUUGGUACCGGUGGGGCUAAAGUGGCUUGGGCAAAAAUCUGUAUGCCUAAGGAGGAGGGUGGUUUGGGUCUGUGGGGCUUGGAGAUUUGGAAUAAGGCUGCCAUGUUAAAGCAUCUUUGGUCCUUUUGUAUGGAUUCUGCCUCCUCUCUUUGGGUUUCGUGGACAAGAUUUAUUUACUUAGAGGAUGGAGCAUUUGGGAAUUGAAAUGUCCUGGGGAUUGCUCUUGGAAUUGGAGGAAAAUUCUUGGACUCCGGGAUAUAGGGAGGGACAAAAUGAAAUUCAAAAUUGGGAAUGGUAGAAGUGCCUCACUUUGGUUUGAUAAUUGGCAUCCUCUUGGCCCUUUAGAAAAGAUUCUUGGAGAGAGGUUCAUUCGUGAAUCCAGAUUGAGUAGACCUGCUAAGGUGGCUGAUAUUGUUGAGGGUGAUACUUGGAGAUGGCCAUCAGUUCGCUCCCCAGCUUUGUCUGAUUUGAUGCGAGCUAUGCUUGAUACUUUUCGGCCGGACAGUAAUAGAGAGGAUGUAUUGCGAUGGGAGGAUGAUGUACAUGGAGUCUUCUCUGUUCGGAGUGCUUGGGAGUCUCUUCGACUGCGCUACCCUAGGGUGACUUGGUAUCACAUUGUAUGGUUCCCUAAAUGUAUUCCAAGACAUGCAUUUAUCCUUUGGUUAGCAAUUCAAGGUGGCAUCUAUACACAAACAAAGUUUCUUAGCUUUGGUUUGAUUCAAUCUAUGCGUUGUGUGCUAUGUGGAUGUUCAGUGUAGGAUUUGGAUCAUCUUUUCUUUGCAUGCCCAUUUUCUGAGCGUGUUUGGAAUGCUCUGCAUGUGAAAUGUAACUUGCCAUGGGUUCAAUGGAGUUGGCUUGAUUCUCUCUCUUGGAUGGAACAAUUUCGUGGGAGGUCAUUGUCCUCUAUCGUUAUCCGGUUAAUGUUUGCGGCUUCGAUUUAUGCUAUUUGGCGUGAACGUAAUGCUAGGAUCCAUGGGAGGCUCCUAAAAAUGAGUCUAUUGUUAUUCAAGAUAUUGUUUUUACUAUUUGUGCACGAGUGAACUUGUACAGUAGCUUGGUUCCAUCUAGUGAAAAUAGAUGGCUCCAACGCUCUUGGGGAUUUUUUACAGAUAUUUUUUGUUCUCGUGAUUAGGAUAUGAGCACUUUCUUGAAUUUUGCUAUUGUUGUUAGGAAGACAUUAAUUCCUAGCAUUGUUUUAUGGGGUUUGCCCCUGUGAUUUGUACUUAUUUUUAUACUUUGGAUAUAAUGCACUUACCUUAUCCAAAAAAAAACAUAUCAAUUUGUGUUUCUUGAUCAAUGGUUACACCCAGCUUCUUCGUCACGUUGAAAUAUGCAAUCAUAGUUAGCAUAUAAUUCUUCAUAGGUGUUCUGAUUUUCAUGCUGAUAAUUUGUAAGUUAUGAACAACCUUAAAACGAGCCGUCCUACUUUGGUGUCCAAACAUGCCCUUCAAGCGUUCUUGUAUGCCAUAAUAGGUCACCUGAUAUUCAAGCUUUUGUUAUAACACAUUUGACUUUGAUGCCAAAAUGUAACGAUGCUCCAUCUUGUCUGUUAUGAUCCAUUUAUCAUAUGCAACCCUCUUGGACUUGCCUAUUGGCUUACUAGGUUCCUCAGGACAUUUGUCUUGAAAAACAUAAUCAAGUUUUUAGGCAAUAAGCACAAACAUCAAAUAUGUUUUAUUUUAGAAAAAAAGAUGUGCUUGGAGACAUUUUGCUGAAAAAUAAACAUUCACUGUAUAUUAAAACUGUGCAACAAAUAAAAAUUUAGCAUAUGAUGUGUGAAUGCAUAUGUAGAUCAAUCUAAUUACAAUAAUGCAACGACAACUUACUCCUUGUGAUUCAACAAGCCCCUCCAUUGGGAAAGGUCACGAUAUCCACUAGUAAAACUGAGAUCAUCCCACUAGAUAAAUUAUACCUAACAACAAAUGUCUAUAUUAAGUCUAAAAUCAUUUUGUUUGGUCACCAAAAUCAUAAACGAGAGUAUCUAUUGGAGGUUUGUAGAUAAUUUUUGAUUUGAGUUAUAACCUUUGUCUAGAUCUUUAGAUACCUUAACUUAAUUUUGUCAUCUAUAGGGUAUUACAAAUUAUAUUCUGUCUAGACGAUAUUACCAUGAAGGAAUUCAAUCAAGCAAUUCGAAUUAUGUGGCCUUCUUAUAAGAAGUAUGUUGCAUUAUCGAUAAGAGAAAAUUGUGUUCUUUUGCUUAUGGAUUGAUCAAAGGAGACUAUAUUUUCAUUUAAAUAAACACCCCAUCUUAUUCAAUAAUUUAAUAUAAUGAAUUUUAAUUUUAAAUAAUUAUUAGUUGUUCACAUUAAUCAGAUUAACAUACAAUUUCAUUAUUACUAUUUUUUCAUUCAAAAAAGUUUAAUCUAAAUUAAAUUAAUCGAGAAAAAAAUUAUGUUCAAUGAUAUGUAUCAAGACCAAACUUUGGUAAUAUAUAAGAUCACAGAAAUCAAUAAAUCUAUAAUACUUUCCUCUCACCCGUCGUAUAUGUAUUUUAUCCCCGUGUUAGAUUCGAUAAUUUGGUACGUGUAUAAAUGAUCGUUUUGCUAUUCUAAUUAUUUUCACUAAUUUAAGAAUCAUUUUCUUCAACAAUCAAAUGAACCAAUUACAAAUGUCAAAAUUUAGCCGUCACAAAAUACUGAGCUUAAAUUUUAACCACUCAACGGAAAGAUUUAAGUUGUCCCUCUAUCCAAUCUUCAAGGUGACGGUUCUCACCACGACUUCAUGUUCUCUAUUUCGCACACUCUUAAGCUCCCAAUUUACCUUGAUAUUUGAUCAAUUAAAUUGAAAUCACCCAUUGGUGAGUCAAAGAACUAUUAAAGUCACGAAAAAGUAUAUAUAACCAUAUCAAUGGAUUUACAUGAAAUCACGACGAUCAAAUGAAAUUUAAUUCUCUGCAUGAUCAUGCUAUAAAACUAAAUUCGACACAUAGCCUGUUCAAUAAACUUUAAGUGUACUAGUGUCACCUUUAAUUAUUUACGGGAUAAGAACAAAUCAUAAUCUCAAAUAGUGAAUUGAUCAACACUACAACCUUCUAGUACAAAGUGCCAACCUUGUAUAAGUUGUGUCAUAUUGUACUUCUCAAUACAAGUAACAAAUUUAUAUUAUCAUAAAUACUUUAAUUAGCAUGUUUAAUAAUAAAUAAAUGAAAUAAUCACAAUUUUAUUUAUAUAAGAAUAUUGUUAUUUUUUACACAAACAAAACUAUACUGUAUGGGCACACAACCAACAAGAUGAUAAUGGUAGGUGCAGGUCGGGCCUGUUAAAGUUUUUGUUGGGCUGGAAUUUGUUAGGUUAGAUCUGUUGUAAUGGAGGUGUGUGUAUAGAGCUGUUUGGUUUGUGGGCAUCGAUUUUGUUGGGUAAAUAUGGGAUGUGGUUAAUGGGCUGGGAUUAUAUUAGGUUAAUUACGGGCUUGGCUGAAAAUCUGUUUUGAUUUGUAGCGGUAACAAGUAAUGCAGUAAUUCUGUAAUUGAAUUUCUGGAAUUUCUUUUUGAAAGAACUAGAAAUGAUAAACUGCAAUUUAAUAUAAAGAAUUAGUUUUUAAUGUCAUAUUAUGCUUAUCAUAUGAUGGAUAGUCAAUCUAUAUUUGUGGGAGAAACAGUAGAGGAAAUCCUAAUUUUAUGAUAACUCAAAUUCCUUAGUUGAAAUUCACAAGGACCCAAAUUCUUAAACUGUACUUAAUGAAAUUUUUGGUGCAAGGCUAGUCCUGGAGGGGGCUUCUUGCCCCCCUUCCAAGCCCACGACGACAUCACUGCAGAGAUCAAUCCAUAUACUGGCUUCACUGAACAACAAUAAUUAAGCUUCAAAACUUAAUAAUGCUAAUUGGUAAACCCCCUUAGCUAUAGAAGGUUCAAAAGGAGUCCAUAGACAAGGUGGUAAGAGUUGUUCAAUAAUAGGUCGAUCAGCUAUCAGAUAUACCAUUGAUGAGUCAGUCGAAUAGCUAAGAAAUUUGUUUGAGCCAUCAUUUUUCUUUACGCAACAGUUGCAACAACCGUGAAGACCCCAGAUCCUAUUUUUGUUCUGCAUUUUAGUAGCAUAGCAAAGCGUCGCUCUAUAUAUAGGGGUUGGAUCCCACAAGUAUAACUCUUCACCAACCCUUCAAUUUUUUCCAGCAUUAUAGAUCCUCUCCUCCAAUAGUGGUUUCUCUCACCAAAUGGCAACGAGGGAGAUAGGCCCGCCACUUUCGCAGGUGUUACGGCCGUCUAGCAACAUCAUCAGCAUGGUAGGCAAUUUAAUAACAGCAUCCUAAUGUUAUUUGAUCGGUCAUAUUAUUGGGGAUGAUUAUCAUUUCUCCAUGUUCUUAACUAUUCCUGCCCUAGAACUAUUGGUCUACGUGCCUUUGUUUGAGCCACAUUCUAGGAAAAAAUGCAUUAUUUAUGUCAAAUCAAUGUGAAAUGUGUGGUUAAAAAAUAAGAAAAAAAUUUAAAUUUGCGUGUAAUAUUAUUUUAUUGGAAAAUGUGUGGUUGAAAUGAUGUUAAAUCAUUGUUGAAAAAUGUAUUUUUUUUAAAAAUAAUGUGGCUCAAACAAACUAUAUUCAAUAAGAAAAGUGUAUGAGGUGCCAUUCAGAAUCUAAAAAUUAAAAUUUAGUAAUUUAUGCUGUUUUGAUUAGGAAUCAUGAGUUGUUUAAUUUAAACCUAUGCAAAGUUUUAUAUCUAGUGCUUUUUUUCCUUUAUUUGCAUCUAUUCUAAGCAAAUUUUCACUUUUUGUUAAAGUUAUACUCAAAGUCUGUGGUAGGGUACACGGGAAUACUUAAAAAUGAACUAAUUUUUCAAUUUUUAUUCCAAGCAAAUCUUCACUUUUGGUCUAAGUUAUACUUAAAUUCUAUGAUACGAUAUACAAGAAUACUUUAAAGUGUUAUGCUAAUAUUUAAUUGGCGUUUAUUCUAAGCAAAUCUUCACCUUUGUAUAAAGUUAUUCUUAAAUUCUAUUGUAUGGUAUAUGAGAAUAUUUUAAAUGAAAUGCUAAUUCCAAAUGCCACCACUUUCGAAUUUCUAAAUCUUCACUAUGCAUUAUUUGAUUGCUUUUAAUUAACCAAAUACUGUCUUUAAUUUCUUGGGUACCAGAUUCUAAGAAAUAUUUAAAGAACAUCUUUAAUCUUUAUGGAUUACUCUUGUCUCCUUAAUGUGAUACAAGGUUUCGAUGCCAAGGGAAUCAUCAAAUAAUUGCAUUCCUGCCAUCUCUACUGACUUGAUGAAGUUUAUAAAUGCUGUGAGGACCAUCAAUCUGCUAGCAUAACUUGCAAACUAGAAAAUUUGAUAAAAAGACGUGAAAUGGCCGACGUGGUAAUUUCUUUUGCUGUACAAUGCAUCAUACCAAUACUACAGGAAAAGCUGAGAGAGGCGGGAGAAGUUGAGACCGAUGUGGAUAACAUCAGAGAUGAGUUGAAUCGAAUGAUGGCAUUUCUCAAAGAUGCGGAUAGUGCAGUGGAUAAUAGUGACACAGGGAUGAUAAAUUGGGUCAACCAAGUUCGCGAUGUUGCACAGGACACUGAGGAUGUUCUCGACAAAUUUGUACUCGGCUUGAAGAAGAAUCGACAGGGCAGUGGGUGGUCCAAUCCCGUUCUUCCUAACUUUUUAAAUUGCAUCGUAAAUUUAAGAUUCUUUUCUAGGAUUGUUUCUGAAAUACAAAGCAUUAAUUCUCGUGUCAUCAGUAUUGCAGAAGGGCAUCGGAGAUAUUUUGACACUGCAGGAAGUUCAAAUUCAAAUUCAAAUGUUGACACCAGCCUUGACCUUGCAUAUGAUAUUAGAGGUGAUGCCCUUUUGGAAGAAGAAGUAAAUCUUGUAGGAAUUGAGGGCCCCAAAAGCGAGUUAACGAGAUUGCUCUGGGAAAAAGGUUCCGGACUGAGUGUAAUUUCAGUGGUAGGACCAGGAGGUGUGGGGAAAUCAGCUCUUGUUAGGAAAGUAUAUGAUGAUGCAGCAGUGAAGAAGCAAUUCAAAAGUCACGCUUGGAUAAUUGUCCCUCGGUUAUUCGAUAUAGAGGAUAUCCUAAAGGACUUGAUUCAGCAACUCUUUCGAGAAACCAAGGAAGCAUUCCCUGAAGAAAUGAACACCAUGAAUAAUAUUCAGCUGAAGGAACUGAUUAGACUAUUCUUACGAGAAAAAAGGUAUGUGAUUGUUUUUGAUGAUGUACGGGGCAUCGAAUUAUGGAAGGCUAUUAAACGUGCGUUUCCUGACUAUUCUUGUGGUAGUCGAUUAAUUGUAACAACACGUAAUACUGAUGUGGCUCUCUAUUCUGCUAUGCGAAAUAAGGAGAAUGUAUAUACUUUGAAGCCCCUUCCUCCAGAGCAUUCUUUGACACUAUUUUGUCAAAAGACGUUUCGAGGGAGUCCUUGUCCUUCCCAUCUGGAGGAAAUUACUAAUAAUAUCUUAAAGAGAUGCGCAGGGCUGCCGAUCGCUAUCAAGUCUGUUGGUGGAAUUCUGGCUUCAAAGAGCCGCAGAUUGGACGAAUGGGAGAGGGUUUAUAAGAGUCUUGGAGCUGAACUGGAAAGAGAAAAUAGGAAUUUGAAUAUGAUCUUGUUGCUUAGCUUCAAUGAUUUGCCUUACCAUCUAAAAUACUGUUUGUUAUAUAUGGCCAUAUAUCCAGAAUAUCACUUGAUAAAGUGUAACUCCUUGAUUCGCCUAUGGAUAGUGGAAGGUUUCGUGAAUGAAGAAAAAGAAGGAUGGACAGUGGAACAAGUUGCCCAAGACUACCUAAAGGAGCUUGCUAAAAAAAACUUGAUCGAAGUGGUGAAGGCUAAAGAGAAUGGAAGCAUAAAAUCUUGCCGCAUAAAUUACUUUCUCAGGGAGAAUCUUCUAAAUAAAGCAAAACGUCAAAAUUUUUUGAUGAAAGUCGGCAAAAAUUCCAGUGGUCAAUGGAAUAGCAAAGCUCGUCGCUUAUCAAUCGAUGGCCCUUGGGAAAACUUUAAUCCUCAAAUAUCUGGCAAAAAACUUCGUUCUUUGCUUACAUUUGAUGUGACUGAUUCGUCUUCAAUACUUGAACUACUUAACAGUUGUAUGAUGCUUAAAGUUCUAGACCUGUCAGGAUUACCUCUAAAAUCAUUUCCAGAGGUAAUCACCAAGCUCCUACUUUUGAAAUAUCUAUCUUUGAGGCAUACAGAAAUUGGAUCACUUCCAAGAUCAAUCAAGAAGCUUCAAGAACUAGAGACGUUAGAUCUUAAACACUCACUUGUCACUGAGUUGCCUGUUGAGAUCUUAGAACUCCGAAAACUGAGACAUCUCAUAAUAUGUCGCUAUGUAUGCUCUGCUGCACAUUCAGAUGUUCAAAUCAACGUUCUUGGUUUCAAGCUACCAAAUGGAAUUGGAGCUCUAAAGUCUUUAUACCAACUCUCUUUUGUUGAGGCAAUCCCUGGCACAAUAAUAGAGAUAGGGAACAUGAAGGAAUUGAGAAGGCUUUUCAUAUUCAAAUUGGGAAGAGAGGAUGGAAUGAUGGUUUGUUCAUCCAUUGUAAAGCUCCAAAAUCUUCAAUCAUUAGCCUUGUUUUCAAAGGCAGAAAAUGAGAUCCUUGACCUGGAUCACAUUUCAUCCCCUCCUGCAUCCCUUCAAGAGCUCUCUGUGUCAGGACGUUUAGAAAAAUUUCCGUAUUGGAUAAAAUCUCUCAACAACUUGGUUAAAGUUUAUUUCAGGUGGAGUCGGUUAAGCGAUGAUCCCCUUCAGUAUCUCCAAGAUUUGCCAAGCUUAGUCCGUCUUGAACUUCUUGAUGGAUAUGUUGGUGAAGAACUGUGUUUCAAGGCGGGAAAGUUUCAAAGUCUCAAAAGAUUAUGUCUUGACACGUUUGAAUCUUUGAAACAGGUUAUAAUUGAGGAGGAAGCAAUGCCAAAACUGAAAAGGAUAAAGAUUCAGCGGUGCCAAUAUCUGAAAAGUGUUCCAUCUGGAAUUGAAUGCCUUGACAAGAUGAAAGUUCUUAAACUUUACUACAUGAGCCCACAGUUUAUUGAGAAACUGACUGUUGAAGAUUUCCAUAAAAUUGCACACAUUCCUAAAGUACGUUUUUGGAAGAAUGACGUCACGGAAAUGGAUGAAGAUUGAGUUCUUAAUUAUCUUUUAGUUAGUGUUUUACUAAAUAACAUCAGAUUUUAAUUCCGUUUAUAUCGGAUUAAUUCUGAAUAUUAGGAAUUUUAAUUAUCUAGAUUUAGUCUCUCUAAAGAUUUUGGUUUUUAUCUAGUUUUUUUGGUUAUUGCUUUAAAUAAGGAUUGUAAGUCUUAAUGGCAGAAAGUGGAUUCCGAAUAAAUAUUUUAGAGUUUGGAAUUUUUCAACCUCUUAAUUCGUGGUAUUUGAUAUUAAAAUCAAGGCGUCCAAUUUCUCCAUAUUCAUGUCGAAGUCAAAGAGCUUUGAAGCCUAGAUUUCUACCAUUUUUAGGAAUCAACGAAAAUUAAAAGGUGGUUGUGCUGCUGGAUUCAUUUGGAAUCAAUGGAACGUCGAUAGCAUGUUCACAUAUUAUUUCAAUCGCUUUCGUCCAAAAUCAGAAUUUCAUCUAUUAGAGACCGAGCAUCAAAUUAGUACCCAUAAUCGGCUUCUAAUGAAACUCAUUCAAUUUGUUUUAACUUAGAAUCUAUUGUAGAAUGGCCUUUAGUUCAUCAAAGCACUGCACAAUAUACUACAGCGGCUGAAUAUACGAUUUGAGACUGUAUUUACGAUGUUGAAAUAAAAUGUACUUCAGUUGUAGUUUUGCAAAGAUGAUUUAAUUAUUUUGGUGAUUUUUUUUUUUUUUCACAAUUUUUGUUAAUCAAUAAUGCAUCUCUAGCUAGGUUCUUCUUAUUUAACUAAUAUUUGUCCUACGAAGUUAAAUUUUAUUAAAAGGCAUUAAAGAUUCUUCAACUUGUGUUGCAUUUAGAUGCUCAACCUCUAGAACAGAGCAUUUGGGUUCUUAACUCUUCAGUUUUGUUGUGGACCAAGCUCAACCAUACUCAAACGAGCUUGUAAUCAUAAAUUAGAAUGAAAAUAAUGUUUUUAUUAAAACAUAUUUGACAAGAUGGUACACUCUCUAAAAGAUAAGGCGAUUUAAAAUGUGACAGAUUUUAUUAUUUAUUUGUUAGAUUUUACCGUAAUUAAUUUAGAAUGUUCUAGGAAUACUUGCUCUAGAUACACCUGGUAUUUCAUCGUCAUAUACUGUGUUGGGAUCAACAUGGUUAACUUGAGCGUGGACAAUUACAGCCAGAGAAAAUUUACUAUUAUGGGAAAGAUUCCGGAGACCAAGAAUCAUUUUUAGUGUGUCCGUGGAAGAGAUGUGUUGUAAAUUGAUCAGAAGAUUAUGGCAAUAAUGAAGUAAACAAGAACAAAAUAAGAACACAUAGAUUUUACGUGGAAAUCCAAGACGGAAAAAAAUCAAGGACAGAGGAGAAGAAUUUACUAUAAUCAAUAGCAAUUGUGUUUGCAAGAUCUCAAUACUCUCAACUAAUAUCUAAAGCUCUCAAAAUGUUGUAUUUUUUGUUCUAUAUGACAAUACACACCGUUCUGUAUAUAUAUAGAAAGCCCUAGAAACCAAAUUACAGAUGAAUAUGUGUCCAAAAUGAGUUAAAAUGUCGCUUGAGAAGCGUCGAGCGACAACCCAGGAGGAGAGAAACUGGCGAUAUUUUUCUGUUCCGAAUUUGACAAUUUCGCUUGUAUGUCCAACUAAUGAAGAGAUAGUGAAAAUGUAAUAAUUUUUCCUGGUUCAUAAGUUGAUUUCUCCAAAACUACUUCAAAUUAGAACUCCAAUACCCACUAUAAUUUGGAUCACACUACAACAAAUCUCCACCUUGAAUCAAAUUCCAAUAAAGGAAACUCAAUAAACACCACUCCACCUCUUCCAAACAAGCCCCAGUGGACUAAAUCAAUGACAAACAUCAAUUAAGUUUAAGCAAUGCUCAAACUUAGUAAUGAGAAGUGGUUUUGUAAUUAUAUUAGCAGGAUUAAUUAUCCUCGAUAUCAACCUUGUUCACUACAAUAUCACUAUGAGCAAUUACUUUACAUAUAAAAUGGUACAUCAUAUCAAUGUGUUUAUUCCUCUCAUGGAACAUCUAAACCUUAUUGAGAAAAAAUAGCACUCUAGCUAUCACAAUAUACUUUAGCUGCAAGUCUUAAAUGAUUUCACCAAUUAAUCCCCUCAACCACAUAGCCUUCUUACAAGCCUUUGCAUUUUGCAAAGUUACUUUUCAGCUGAUAGCACAACCUCCAAGGAUAAACACAUACCUUGCAACUGAUUUCCUUUUGUCAAGAUCCCCUGCAUAGUUUGAAUUCGCAUACCCAAUAACUCCAUUAGUCUUUUUUACCAAAAUGCAAACAAGCAUUGUUCGUGAAAUUAUUUAUUCCGAUUUUAAAUCCACCGCAAGUGUACGAUUCAUUAACAAGUAGUAAAAUGGACUAUAAGUCCAAGUAUCGAUCCCACGAGGAUUGAAUUAAUUCAAAUUAAUCUAAUAUGACAUUAACCGAAACAUGACAACCAAAUGGCGAUUUUGUACUUUAACUAACAAAAUGUAAUCGUUGAUGCAAUUAUGGACGAAGGAUUAUACUAAGUUCAAAAUAAAUUGGAUGCAAUUUAACUAGAAUUUUAUAGAAUUAAUGGAUGUUCUAAUACACUAGGAUCACGAAUCCCCAAGUAAUACCCGUUCAAUAGUCAUUUAUGCAAAUUUGACACACAAAUCCACAAAAGAUGAAUCGAUAUUCCUAUUUUAAUUUAGCAAUCUCUCUCGAGCAAUGCCAAACCUAUCCCAAUAUAUGAUUCGACUAUAUUUCUAUGAUGAAUACUAAUAUACCGACAUGCAUUAUAAUUCACGAAUAUCCAAUGAUUCACACAAGGCAUAAAGGUAUAUUUCUAUCCUCUAUCGGACCCUAUGAUGAUUUAUAUUAUGUCGAACCUAUUUUCCUUAUUUCGAAUGCAUAAAACAGGUCACCACAAUCAUAUAAUCAUGUGCACAAUAAUUAUAUGAAAAUAAAAAUGAAAUAAAUCAAUCAAUUCCGGAAUUUGUGUUCACAUACGUCAAAAAUCCAAAACAACAAUUAAACGUAGUAUUACAAGGUUCAUCGAUCUCCUAGUAGUAAUAAAUCUAUCCUAACAUGCUAAAAAGAACAAAAAUUAAAAGUAUUUGAAGAAACGACAUCACCCGAAUCAAUCUUCAAUCCGAUCUUCAAUUGGCACGAUGUUGUUCUCUUGUUCUCUCCCUUGUUUCUUCUUCAAAAUCUCUCAAAAACAUGUAAAAACGGCAUCCCAUUCGUUUUGGUCGAUUUUUUGUAUUUAUAGGACCCUAAAAUUGUUGUUUCUAUAAGAGUUUCGAAAAAAAAGGAAACUAAAUUUUCCCAACUUUUUGUUCUAUGCGACCGCAUAGAGUAAUUCUAUGCGGUCGCAUAGAAGAAAUUUUUCAACCCUUUUUGAUUUCGCUAUGGUACUAUGCGACCGGAUAGAGGAUAAUACUAUGUGGUCGCAUAGUACUAUCAACUGUGGUAGAAAUUACGUUUUCGUCCUCCCACUUGCAUCCUUCACUCCUUAGCAUCUUCUUUUUAUUCUUUUCAUUUCAUCACCCCCACGAUAUCGUCAAUUGGUAAUUGGCCUAAUUGAUUUCUCGAUUUGUUCAUCGGAUCAAAUUUUGAAUAUUUGCACUUUUGGUCCCUGAACUUUCACUUUGUGUCACUUCAGUCCUUUUUCGCAUCUUUUCUUCUGAAUUUCACUAUGUUCAUCGUUGUUUUCUACAAUUCACAAUUUUACAAGAAUAAGUCACAAUUCAAUCAUUUUGCUCAUAUUUAAAUCAUAUUUGUGACCUAAAUAAGUGUGCAAAAACACACUUAUCAAACCCCCCAAAUUUGAACUAUUGUUUGUCCUUAAACAAGAUAGUGACUUAAUUCUGAACAAACAUGGCUUAAUACCCUGUUGUGGCUCAGGAUUGGACUAAGUACUUAAAAAUUUAUCUGUGCAAACGUGACAUCAACCUUUACCUAUUUAAUGCAAAUUGACGUGUGUGUGAAUUCAUGCCAACAUAUCAGAUUUAUGAUGAAUCUGAGUCCCAACCCCAAGUGGUCAAAUAUAUCCUUACUUGCUCGAGAGAUACACAACCCCCAAACUUAUUGUUUUCACUCAAUUAUCCCAGGGUUGUGUUUUAAGGUUAGGAAUUUAUAUAGUUGUAGUCCUCACCCUCUCGUAGUUCAGAUUUAGCAUUACUAUCAUAAGUCUACAUUUCAAAAAGUGAAGGCUCUCCUAAAUUUGAUUGCUUUGACACUCAAUAUCAAACAAGAUUACUUGUCUCGCCUCAGAGGUACAAUCUCUUCAACCAAAUGUCUAAGGGCUUUUCGUCAUGUUUUGUCUCUCUUUUGUUUUUUUCACCUUUCUUUAAUUCUGAUUGAUUUUCAUCUUCUCAUUUGCUUUCUAUAUAACCCAUGUAACGAGCUUUAGGCCGGUGACUCUCAAAUCAGUUGGAUGUAGGGCAUCAGAUUUUAAACCCUUACAGGCUUAUUUACUCGAGUUAUAAAGGCUCGAUAAGAUGACUUUUUAUUAACUUCUUUCCCUCUUUCUUUCUAUAUGAUCCAUGUAACGAGCUUUGAGUUGGUGCCUCCCAAACCAGUUGGUUUUAGGGCACCAGAUUUUGAAGUAUCCUGACAAGCUUACUUACUCGAGUCAUAAAAGCAUGAAAAGAAGUGUUUUAUUCUCACGUAUAAAAAUUGUGCCCUUUGUCAUUUUUUUAGACAUUUAGUUUCCAAAACCAACCCCCCAAUUUAAGAUUUUCACCUACUCUUCAUCCCACUGGUCUAGGCAAUCCACACAAUAAAUUUCAUGCACGGAGCCUCCGCUCAUCUCAAUGCUUUCCUAUAAUAGCUCAACUAUCACCAAACUGUCUUUAGGUAGUUUAUGGCUUAAUUCAAUAGAGGAUUAUCAUUCUUUUUCUAUUUUAUGCUCAAAAUUCAGUCAUUCACCUAAUAUGUCAAGCAUGAGUAGCGUGCAUAGAUAAUGUCAAGUGUUGCAUCAACAAGUAUCAGUAACAAGUAUCAGUUAGUCUAAUUAACACCAGAUCCAAAGUUUUGUAGUUUAAACUAGUCCAAUAAUAACAUUAUAGCGAACAAAGUUAUUAAGCCCACAAAAGCAUGCUAAACCCACACAAGCAUGCAUGAAGAGAAUUAAAACAAACUGAAUAGAAUGCAAAUUUUUUUUUCACUCAUCAUGCAUGCAUUAUGCAGUAAUGAAAAACAGAUAAUGAUGAACACAGAUAAAGAUUUGAAAUUAUGUCACCCUCCCCAAACUUAGUUAAUAUAUUGUCCUCAAUGUAAGAUUAACAAAAGAUUAACGACAUAAUUUAAGGACAAAAUGAAGAUGAAAAAUCAAAAUGGGAUAAACAAUACUCCCCUGAUCAAAACAGUGGCUGGGAUGGAAAGCUGAGCUCGGCAUCAUCAUCGCGAGGAGGAGAGGGAAGGCGAGACAAGAUCUCCCUCAACAUGGCAGACUGCUGGGUCUGCUCCAUCUGCAUGGCUUGAACCCUCGUCUCCAAAUUCCCUAGACGGUCCCAAGACUCGUUUACCCGCCACUGUAUACCAUCCAUCCGGCUAAAGUACAUGCCCAGAUGCCUGUCGAAAGCACUCAUCUGUCGGCGUGCUGUGAUGGAUUCACUGCUGGCAGUGGACGCGAAGUUUCGUGCAGAUGCCAUAUCUGUCUGUACUUGCUGGAUGGUGGUAGUCAGUGCCCUAAAUGACUGCUGAGGCUGCUGCAUGUCUCGCCCGUAUCCAGUCAUAGUAGCAAACAUCUGCCGCAAUAACUGAGUGUCCUCUCUGCAGCCUGUUGCUGUCGCCGGCGCUCGUUUUCCAAUUUCUGCUAAUGUUUAAUCCUGGCGCGGUCCUGGGCUUCCAGUGCGAGGCAUUUGAUAAAAGGACUUGGUUUCUCCGGUGCCUCCCCUGGCUGAACUUGUAUGCCAGCAGCUCUACAAAUUCCACUUAUCAGGCUCGGGAAAAUCAAUGAUGUGUGCCUGUCACCCCAUGCGCCUAUAACGUGUAUCUGAUUGUAAAUGUAGGUGGUUAAGUCAAUUUUGUUCCCCCGAACUAAGUGGUAAAUGAAACCUACCUUCUGAUCUGUGAAUGUCGUCUGAUGGGAGAUUGGCUCGAUGUUGUGACAGAUGAAUAACCAUAGGAUGGCUAUGGACGGAGUGAGGUCUAUCUAAUACCAAUCAGCAGUAGGGAGCGACUAAGCAUUUUUCCGUCCCAAUAAAACUUCGGCCACUUCAACCCAGUUGAAAUCAUACGGGACUAGGACUACAUUUGUCUAGGUGAGAUGAUAGUAGUCAUAUAUUACCUCAAGUGAAAACAUGAUCCAUUUGCCCCGAACCUAAGUCUGAUGCAGAUGGUCGGAUCCCGGUGUGUCUAUUUCAGCAUUGAAAUUUGCAUAGAAUUCCCAUACCAAGUUUUCAUAGACAGGGUAUGGUCUUUCAAUCACCUUCUCCCACCCGCAGUUGUGGACUAGAUAAACCAGUUCAAAACCCAAAAAAUCAUCUAAUUUAACUAGUCUUUCGGGGAUGAGCGCCCAUUCCCAGACAACAUUGGCAUAGCGGGCUGCUUGGUUGGAAGAAAGAAAAUGUCGGACUCCCCCUUCAGGUUCUCUAGUCCGGGCUGUGCCAGAUGUGAAACCAACUUUCUCCUUUCCGUUUGAUGUAUGCUUUGGGGGCAUCCUGCAAAGGUAAAGAUACAGUAGUCAGUAAACUGCAUUAUUAAAAACGAUAGGGGAAAUGAGGUAAGCUAGACAAAUAGUUUACAAACUCCCCAAACUUGCUUCAACAAGCAUAUAGAACACCAUUGUGUGCACGCAUCAAAGUAUGACAAAGAGGGAAGUGUAAAGAGAAUGUUGAGGUGAAAAAUUGGAAAGUUAGGCCAAAACAAAUACAUGUAAAAAAAAUCAUAUCCAUGACCGAGUGCGCAUGUUCGACCCCGGAUAUCGUCGAAAAAUAUCGAUAUUCCCCGGGCAAGUUCCGGGCGUAUGAGAGUAUUCAAUGAGAUCUACCAUAUAUUCAAAUUUUAAAGCAAAUGGACUACGUUUGGUAUGCCAAUUAAUGGUGGAAAGUAUGGGACGUAGGGUGCCGUGACAUGCCAUGUGCUUAUGCGUUGCAAGAUGGAAGUGAUGUGAUACAUGGUCGUUCAAGUGGUUGUGAAUGUGGUCACAAGCAAAUGUCAAGAAAACAUGCUCAAGAACGUACAAGGAAAGCAAAAUAACAAGUCACACACAAACAUAGGUUCAAACAACCAAAAUGAAUCAAGUAACCCAAUGAUUAAGUGUGCACUUUCGCCCCCGGACAUCAUCGAGAAAACUAGAAGUUUUCCCGAACAACCUCUAGGCAUAUGAAAGUAUGUAGUGUGGAGUGACACAUAUUCAAUUUUCAAGCUCAUUGGACGUCGUACGUGUAAUUAACGCAAGGGACGAAGUGUGUGCGAUGAGGUGAUGUGAACCUAACACUUGAGCCGAAAGGUGUGGGGUUGGUAGGUGAGUGUGUCGAGCUCAAUUUCGAUGGCAAUUAUAUGGGAAUGCGUGUACUCAAAAUGUCUAAUGCAGAAUUGUGCAAAAUGUACUACAAUUGUCACGUAGGCAAUUCAUCGAACAAGUAGCAUGCAAGAUCGGAAAAAAAAAACUACACAAUACCAAAGUGACAAUGUUCCACCAAUCCACAACACAAGCCAAGUGUAACGUACACAAAACCAACGAAAAGCAUUGCCCAUCCUCCACAAUCAGGCUUAAAUAGCAUAAUCUCAUGGCGAACCAAAUUUAAGAAGAUAAAUGCAUAGAAGAAGGAAAGAGGAACAUACCUAGACUUCGCACGGGAUGCGUGGAAUGUUGAUUUAUGGAGUAAAUGGGGGGGGGGAGUCGAGUGAAGUUCGGCGUGUUGAUGUGUGUUGGAGAGUGGUGUGGGAGGAAAUUAGGGGGGAAAUGGGGGAUAAUGGCUCGGUCAUGGUUUAAUACCAUGAUCGAGAGAGUACUAUGCGACCGCAUAGUUCAUAACUAUGCGGUCUCAUAGUAGAUAUAAAAAAGCGCCUUUUGUUUUUGGUAAGGGGCUAUGUGGUCGCAUAGAUUAACAGUCUAUGGGACUGCAUAGGUUUUUUUUUUAAAUUAAUUAUAGCACUGAAAUGCAAAAGUUUUUUUUUUUUUUUUAUUUAUAUAGCACUGAAAUGCAAAAAAAAAAAAAAAAGUAUUUCCGUCGAAAUUUUUUUAAAAAAAAACGUUUUUUGAUCUAGAAAAGCGUGAACCAUGCUCCCAAACACCCAAAAUCAUUUCAAACUCACCUACCAUGUGUGUAAUGCCUAGAAAAUUAUGGGGAUGAUAAUUCGAUCCAAUUAACAUGCAUGUACAAUCGAUGACCUAAAAAAAAUGCAAAUGCGAAAAUGAAAUAAUUUUAAAAAUAAUGUGGAAAGUAAGCUAAUAAAAGGAUACAGUGAGUUGCCUCCCACUCAGCGCUAGAUUAUAGUCGAUAGCUCGACUUUAUUGUGUUGCUUCAUUUUGAUGAUCGAAGAUGAACGAUAGUCUUUUCCUUUGAAAAAUCGCCUUCCCAAUAGUGCUUUAGACGCUGUCCAUUGACCUUGAAUGUCCCCUUGCUGUCGUGAGUGAUUUCAACUGCCCCAUGUGGAAAAACCUGGGUAAUAGUAUAUGGAUCAGACCACCUUGAUCGCAGUUUUCCGGGAAAUAGCUUAAGCCUAGAGUUGUAGAGCACUUUCUGCCCCACCAUAAAUCCACGCCUCUGAAUGUGCAUAUCAUUCCAUUUCUCUGUGCGCUCUUAUUGGUUCUUGAAUUCUCGUAGGCUUCCAUUCUGAGCUCAUCCAGCUCAUUAAGUUGUAGGAGACGUUUUUCACCCGCAACCUUCAAAUCCAAAUUCAAUUUCUUCAUUGUCCAGUAAGCAUGAUGUUCUAUCUCAAGAGGUAAGUGGCAUGCUUUCCCGAAAACCAGUCGAUAUGGUGACAUUCCCGUAGGGGUCUUGAAUGCAGUCCUAUAGGCUCACACGGCGUCGUCCAAUUUCUUAGACCAAUCCUUUCGUGAUGAACUUACUGUGACUUCGAGUAUUCGCUUUAAUUGUCUAUUGGACACUUCGACCUGUCCGCUGGCUUGGGGAUGAUAUGCAGUGGCUACACGAUGUUUAACGCCAUAUUUAGCCAACAAUUGAUCGAACUGACGAUUGCAAAAGUGUUUGCCCUCGUCACUGAUUAUAGCCCUCGGUGUUCCAAAGCGGGUAAAAAUAUGUUUCUUUAGAAACUUAAUCACCACCUUCCCAUCAUUGGUAGGCAGUGCAACGGCCUCUACCCACUUUGAUACGUAGUCCACAGCCACUAAUAUGUAUUGAUUAGAGAAGGAUGGGAAAAAUGGUCCCAUGAAGUUGAUCCCCCAGACGUCGAAUAGUUCCACCUCCAGGAUACUAUUCAAAGGCAUUUCAUUUCUCCUGGAUAUAUUUCUGGUGCGUUGACAUCGAUCACACCUUUUCACGAAUUCAAAAGCAUCUUUAAAUAGUGUAGGCCAAUAAAAAUCUGAUUGAAGGAUCUUCGCUGCUGUUUUUAAAGCAACAAAAUGCCCUAUAUAUGUAGAUGAAUGACAAUGUUCUAAUAUCAAAGACACUUCUUCCUCAAGUACGCAGCGAUGAACAAUUUGAUCAGCCCCCCGCCUGUAUAGAAUGGGAUCCUUCUAGAAAUAAUAUUUAAUUCAGAGAAAAAUUUCUUCUUCUAGUGAUUGGAGUAAUCAGGCGACAUGAUAGACCUGGCUAAGUAGUUAACAAUGUUUGCAUACCAGGGUACCUCCCCCAAACGAAAAAUCUGUUCAUCUGGGAAGACUUCAUUGAUUUCCACUAUUUCUGUCUGUUCUGUGGCCUUGAGUCGAGAUAAGUGGUCUGCCACUACAUUUUCACUGCCUUUCUUAUCCCUGAUUUCCAUGUCAAACUCUUGAAGCAACAGUAUCCAAAGAAUGAGACGGGGCUUUGCAUCCUUCUUUUCCAUUAAGUACUUGAAAGCAGCGUGAUUUGUGUAAAUGAUGACCUUUGAUCCCACGAGAUAUGACCGAAAUUUGUCAAAUGUGUAGACUACGGCAAGGAGCUCUUUGUCUGUAGGGCAUAAUUGAGUUGAGCGUCGUUCAAGGUCUUACUUGCAUAGUAAAUCACGUGAAAUAUCUUAUUUCUUCAUUGUUCUAAGACAGCCCCAACAGCAUAAUCACCGGCGCCGUACAUUAAUUCAAAUGGCAGAUUCCAAUCUGGCGUAAUGAUCAUGGGUGCUGAAAUCAACUUCUCCUUCAAGGUGUUAAAAGCAAGCAGACACUCAUCUGUAAACUCAAAUGUAGAUUCCUUCAUCAACAGACUGUACAACGGUUUAGUAAUCUUUGAGAAAUCCUUGAUGAACCUUCUAUAGAAAUAAGCAUGCCCGAGAAAACUACGAACACCUUUCACGGAUCUAAGUGGCGGUAAUUUCUCGAUCACCUGAAUCUUUGCUCUGUCCACUUCUAUACCCUUUGCUGAGAUUCUGUGUCCUAGCACGAUGCCUUCCUGCACCAUAAAGUGGCAUUUCUCCCAAUUUAAUACCAAGUUAGUCUCCGUACACCGCUGUAGCACAAGACUCAAAUGCUCCAAGCACUCAUCAAAUGAAGACCCGAACACUGAGAAAUCGUUCAUGAAGACCUCGAUGAAUUUCUCAAUCAUAUCUGAGAAGAUAGCCAUCAUGCAGGGUUGAAAAGUUGCAGGAGCAUUGCAUAAACCAAAUGGCAUCCUACGGUAUGCAAAGGUACCGUAGGGGCAAGUGAAAGUUGUCUUCUCCUGAUCGUCAGGUGCUACUGAAAUUUGAUUAUACCCAGAAUAUCCAUCUAGAAAACAAUAAUGUGAAUGCCCUGCUAGUCUUUCCAGCAUCUGAUCAAUGAACGGUAGUGGGAAGUGAUCCUUUCGAGUAGCAGCGUUUAGUUUGCGGUAAUCGAUGCAAACUCUCCAUCCAGUCACAGUCCGUGUAGGAAUCAACUCAUUUUUCUCGUUUUCUAUCACUGUGAUACCCCCUUUCUUGGGAACAACUUGUACUGCACUGAUCCAAGCACUAUCUGAUAUUGGAUAGAUGAUGCCUGCGUCGAGCAACUUCAAUACCUCAACCCUAACCACUUCCUUCAUGUGUGGAUUUAGUCUCCGCUGACCAUCAAUGCUUGGUUUGGAUUUUUCCUCCAUAAGUAUUUUGUGCAUGCAUAGCGACGGACUGAUCCCCUUGAUAACUGCAAUCGACCAUCCAAUGGCUGUUUUAUUUUCCCUUAGCACCCGAAGUAGUUUCUUUUCCUCCACCUCACUGACAGUACUUGAAAUAAUAACCGGAAGUGUAGAAGAUUCCCCCAGGUAAGCAUAUCUCAGGUGUGGUGGCAGUUGCUUGAGUUCCAAUUUGGGAGGUUCCUGAAUAGAUGGCACUGACUGUGCAGUCCUGGUUCCCAGUUCUUCGAAGUAGCAUCUGCGCAUGUAUGGCAGAUUAGUCUCCAAAAAUCGUGCACAUGUUUCAAUCUCACUCGAAUCAGUAUGAGUGGAUUGAGAAUGUGCAAUGCACGCCUCGUAAGCAUCUGAAGGAUGAUGUAGCCGAAAUGUAUCUUGAAUUAUUCUAUCAAUUACAUCGAUCUGGAAACAGCUGUCUGACUCAGUCGGGAAUUUUAUUGCCUCGAACACAUUGAACGAGAUUUGCUCUUGGCCAAGCCUCAAUAUAAGCUGCCCUUUCUGAACAUCAACAAUCGCUCUUCCAAUAGCUAGGAAAGGUCGCCCCAAUAUAAGUGGAACAUCCUUAUCUUCCUCCAUAUCCAAGAUAAGAAAAUUGGCUAGAAAUAUAAACUUCUCCAUUUUUACAAAUACGUCUUCAAUGAUCCCUCUUGGAUGUGUAAGGGAUCAAUCUGCUAACUGUAAUGUAACCGUUUUGGCUUUAGCUUCUCCCAAGCCAAGUUUUUUGAAAAUAGAGAGAGGCAUUAAAUUAAUACUUGCACCUAAAUCACACAAUGCUUUAUUAAAAUAACAAUUUCUAAUAGUACAAGGUACAGUAAAACUCCUUGGAUCCUUUAGUUUUGGAGGCAACUUUCUUUGGAUUUUGGCCUGCACUCCUCAGUUAGCAUCACUGUUUCGUGUUUUUCUAUCUUUCGCUUGUUGGAGAGAAAUCCUUCAGGAAUUUUGCAUAACUUGGCAUCUGAACAAGUGCUUCAACAAAUAGAAUGUUGAUGUGUAGUUUCUUGAAGACUUCAAGAAAUUUACUGAAUUGCUGAUCCAAUUUGAGCUUUUUCAAUCUCUACGGAAACGAAAUAUGAGGCUCAUGAGGGUUGAUAGGAAUGACAUCCCGUGAUGUAUUGGAAUUCUCCUUGACCACAUUCCCUGUUGUUUAUUCAGUUUGUUCCACAAUUUCGUCAUCUGAGGUUGGUGCUGAUUCCUUGCUAGCUACGAUCUUUUGACAUGUAUCUCCGGUAGUUGUACUCCACUUCUCGUUGUUAUAGCCUUUGCAUGCUCCUUAGGGUUGAUUUCAGUGUUGCUGGGCAGAUUUCCUGGUGCUCUACCCGUAAUGGAGAUUGCUAUCUGCCCCAUUUGUGUCUCCAAAAUUUUGAUUGCUGCACUCUGGUCUUGAAGAGUUGCAUCUGUCUUUCGUAUAAACUGAUUGUUGGCUUCCAUAUACUGGUUGGUUGUUACCAUGAACUUUUCAAACAUCUCUUCCAAUGGUGGCUUUUUAUCCUGCUGCUGAUAUUGACCUUGUGGUCUGUUUUGAUUCUGAUUGCUCCACAUGAAGUUUGGAUGUUUUCUCCAGCCCUAAUUGAAGGUUUCCGAAUGUGGGUUGUUUUGUUGCCAUUGACCCCAUUGCACAAAAUCUGCAUGUUCGACUCCUUGUGCGAGAAUUGGACAAUUAACGGUAUUGUGGUCUGCUCCACAUUCUUCGCAACUCGACUUCUUGACUUGUUUAGUAGUGGUGGUCUGUGAAAUGCUCUCAACCUUAUGGAACAAAGAGUCUAUCUUUGCAGAUAGUGCGGAAUAAGUAUCUAUUUCAUAAACCCCCGACGAUCUCUUUUGAACCACUCGAUCUGUAGACCACAUGGCUGAAGUUGUUGCCAUUCUCUCAAAUAGCUCCGAUGCUUUAUCAAUUAUUCUCGUGGAGAUAGACCCGUCAGAUGAGGAAUACACCAUGCUCUUGAAGGAUGGAAGUAGUCUAGUGUAGAAAAAUCGGAUCUGUGUCUUCUUGUCAAAGCCAUGUUGCGAGCACUUCCUCAACAUAUUCUUGAAAUAAUUCCAUGCCUCUUCAAAUGAUUUGGACUCACCUUGGUUGAAAAUAGAUAUAUCAUGCUGCAUUUUGGCUACCUUUGCUAGCGAGAAGAACUUGGUGCAGAAUUUGUGGGCUAGCUCGUUCCAGGUGGUGAUGCUUGCGACGAGAAGUGAAUCCAGCCAUUCAAGUGCCUUAUCCCACAAGGUGUGUGGAAACAACCGUAGUAUUAUAGCAUCGUCUGAGAUACCCUGGUACCUGAAGUGUUGGCACAUAUCCAGAAAUCGGGAUAUGUGUGUAUGUGGGUUCUCACUAGCCAUCCCGUGGUAUUAAUGCCCAUUUUGAAAUAAUUGAAUCACAUUUGUUUUCAGCUAGAGGUUCGGUUGCCCAAAUGGAGGAUACUCGAUGCUAGAUUGACUUUGGACUACCAACGGAGCCAUGAAGUCUCCAAGUACUGUAUUCCCGUCAUCUUCAACUGCCAUGCCUUCGUUGAGUGGAAUUACCGGUCGAUUUUGCUCAUUAGCCAUUUGUUGGGCCGCUCUUGCUUCUCUUUGCCUGUGACGAAAUGUGCGUUCGAUCUCUAGAUCUAUGAGAACCAAGUCUUGAUCAGGUGCUCCUUGUAUACAAGCCCAGAGAUAGCAAAAUUAACACAAAAUUAAGUUGACGUAAUUUUAAACUAAACCUAGUAAGCUAACUACUACUAAUCUAGAUAAGUUUGAAUUAGUGUCACAAAAGAUAAAAUUAAAACUAAAUUUCAAUCUCCGACAACGACGCCAAAAACUUGUUCGCGAAAUUAUUUAUCCCAAUUUUAAAUCCACCGAAAGCGUACGAUUCGUUAACAAGUAGUAAAAUGGACUAUAAGUCCAAGUAUGAUCCCACGAGGAUUGAAUUAGUUCGAAUUAAUCUAAUAUGACCUUAACCGAAACAUGACAACCAAAUGGCAAUUUUGUACUUUAACUAAUAAAAUGUAAUCGUUGAUGCAAUUAUGGACGAAGGAUUAUACUAAGUUCAAAAUAAAUUGGAUGCAAUUUAACUAAAAUUUUAUAGAAUUAAUGGAUGUUCUAACACACUAGGAUCACGAGUUCCCAAGCAAUACUCGUUCAAUAGUCAUUUAUGCAAAUUUGACAUACAAUUCCAUAAAAGAUGAAUCGAUAUUCCUAUUUUAGUUUAGCAAUCUCUCUCGAGCAAUGCCAAACCUAUCCCAAUAUAUGAUUCGACUGUAUUUCUAUGACAAAUACUAAUAUACCGACAUGCAUUAUAAUUAACGAAUAUCCAAUGAUUCACACAAGGCAUAGAGGUAUAUUUCUAUCCUCUAUCGGACUAUAUGAUGAUUUAUACUAUGUCGAACCUAUUUUCCUUCUUUCGAAUGCAUAAAAUAGGUCAUCACAAUCAUAUAUUCAUGUGCACAAUAAUUAUAUGAAAAUAAAAACGAAAUAAAUCAAUCAAUUUCGGAAUUUUUGUUCACAUACUUCAAAAAUCCAAAACAACAAUUAAACGUAGUAUUACAAGGUUCAUCGAUCUCCUAGUAGUAAUAAAUCUAGCCUAACAUGCCAAAAAGAACAAAACUUAAAAGUAUUUGAAGAAACGACAUCACCCGAAUCAAUCUUCAAUCCGAUCUUUAAUUGGCACGAUGUUGUUAUCUUGUUCUCUCUCUUGUUUCUCCUUUAAAAUCUCCCAAAAAAUGUAAAAACGGCAUCCCAUUCGUUCUGGUCGAGUUUUUGUAUUUAUAGGACCCUAAAAUUGUUGUUUCUACAAGAGUUUCGGAAGAAAAAGGAAACUAAAAUUUUCCCAACUUUUUGUUCUAUGUGAUCGCAUAGAGUAAUUCUAUGCGGUCGCAUAGAAGAAAUUUUUCAACCCUUUUUGGUUUCGGUAUGGUACUAUGCGACCGGAUAGAGGAUAGUACUAUGCGGUCACAUAGUACUAUCAACUGUGGUAGAAAUUACGUUUUUGUCCUCCCACUUGCAUCCUUCAAUUCUUAGCAUCUUCUCUUCAUUCUUUUCAUUUCAUCACCCCAUGAUAUCGUCAAUUGGUAAUUGGCCUAAUCGAUUUCUCGAUUUGUUCAUCGGAUCAAUUUUUGGAUAUUUGCACUUUUGGUUUUCGCGUCUUUUUUCCUGAAUUUCACCAUGUUCAUAGUUGUUUCCUACAAUUCACGAUUGUACAAGAAUAAGUCACAAUUCAAUCAUUUUACUCGUAUUUAAGUCAUGUUUGUGACCUAAAUAAGUGUGCGAAAACACACUUAUCAAGCAUUAGUUGAGCUCUUCGAGUAUCUGAAUAUCCAUUGAACUGCUUUUCAAUGUUUCUUGCCAGGAUUUGUCAUGUAACUGCAUGUGAACAAAACUGGUCAUGUACAAACCAUAGUAUACAUUAGCGAACCAACUGCACUGAAAUAAGGAACCCGAGACAUGUAAUCAAUAUCUUCAUCUGAUCGAGGACAUAAUCCAGAUGACAAUUUGAAGUGAAUAGCUAAGGGAGUAUUGACAGGCUUAGCAUUCAGCAUGUUGAAUCUUUGAAGCACAUUCUCAAUAUAUCCCUUUUGACUUAAGUACAAUCUGCCAGCCUUUUUGUCCCUCAAGAUUUCCAUGCCAAGGAUCUUAUUUGUUGUACCCAAAUCCUUAAUCUCAAACUUCCUACUAAGUUGAGAUUUUACAUUUCUGACAUCUGCUUUAUUCUUGGCUGCAAUUAAGAUAUCACCGACAUAUAGUCGCAAAUAUGUUAUCGAUCCAUCGGCUUUCUUCCUGAAGUACUCACAGCUGUCAUAGUUACUUCUACUAAAACUGCGAGUAGUUAUGAAUGAAUUGAACAUUUUGUACCAUUGCCUCAAUGAACGCUUUAGUCCAUACAAUGACUUCUUCAAUAAGCACACAUAGUCUUCCUUCCCAGAAGCUAUGAAACACUCUAGUUAUUGCAUAUAUAUGUUUUCCUCAAGUUCUCCAUGCAAGAAAGUUUUCUUAACAUUCAUUUGUUCAAGUUCCAAGUCAUUCUUUGCCACUAUUCCAAGUAAAGCCCGAAUUGAACUAUGCUUUACAAUCGGCAAUAACACAUCUAUUAAUUUAACACCUGGAAUCUGACUAUAGCCUUUUGCUAACAAUUUGGCCUUAUACCUAGUAUCUUCAUUCCCUGAUGUCCCUUCUUUUCUUUUAAACACCCAUCUGCUGUGAACAACCCCUUAAUCCUUUGGUAAUUUUUCCAAGUCCCAAGUACAAUUUUUAUUUGAUGACUCAAUCUUCUCCUGCAUAGCAAUCAACCAUCUGCCAAAUCACUGCAAUUGACUAUCUCUGUAUAUAUAGCAGGCCCCUCAGUCGAAUCAAUUUCUUCAGCCACAUUUAAUGCAUAUGCAACCAAUAUGCCUCACCAUACUUCUGUGGAGGUUUAAUUUGUCUGCGAGGUCUAUCCUUAGCAAUAGAAUACUGUGGUGCUGCUUGUUGUGUAGGUAAAGUAAGCAAAGUAUUGCUAUCUAUUAGUUCUGAACUGGACUGUUAUGAUAUAGACGGUUCUUUAACCUCUGAUUGUUCCCCAGGACCAAUUUUCAACUUCACCUGAGUUGGAUGAUUCCAUUCCUUUAUUUUAUCAAAAUCCACACAAGGUAAAUCAUGAGCCAUAGCAAGUUCAUCAAAUACUACAUCCCUACUAAUCACCACAUUCCUUAUCUCUGGAUACCACAAUUUAUAUCCAUUCACACCAAAUUUGUACCCAAGAAAGAUACACUUUCUAGACCUAGGCUCUAACUCCCAUUAUCCACAUAAGCAUAAGUAGGACACCUAAAAAUCUUCAAAUUAGUAAAACAAGAAGGUUUACCAUACUAUACCUCUUUUGGUGCCUUUUUCCCAAUGGCAGUUGAGUGUGAGCAUUAAUUAGAAAACGAGCUAUGAUAGCAGUUUCAGCCCAAAAAGUCUUUGGCAACCCAAAGUUUGAAAGCAUAUACCGAACAUUUUCCAUCAAAGUUCUAUUCAUCCGUUUUGUCAUACCAUUUUGUUGAGGAGUUCCGAACACGUCAAGUGUCUCAAGAUGCCUUUAGCCCUAUAGAAGCUAUUGAAUUCAUCUGAACAAAACUUCAACCUAUUAUCUGUGCAUAGACAUUUGAUUUAUUUUCCAAUAUACUUUUCUAUUAUUGUUUUCCAUUCUUUGAAGGUCCCAAACACAUCACUUUACUGUUUAAAGAAGAAUACCCAAACUUUUCUAGAAAAAUCAUCAAUUACUAUCAAUAAGUAAUAAGUACCUCCUCUUGAAGGUACCUUGGCCAGUUCUCAGAGAUCUGAAUGUAUAUAUUCAAGUGUUCUUUUCAUGUUGUGUCUACCUAUAGUGAAUCUGACUCUUUUCUGUUUCCCAAGGACAAUGCUCACAGUACUUUGUAUUACCGAUCCUCUAUCCAUCAAGAAGCCCUUUUUUUACUCAAUUCAGCCAUACCAUUCUCACUCAUAUGUCCAAGUCGCAUAUAUCAAAGUUUAGAAACUUUUUCAUCAGUCAAGGAGAAACAAGAGACUGUUACAUCUUUGUUGUAACUGUGAAAUCCUACAGAAUGUACAGUUGUGCAGAGUUUUUUAUAUCCUUUCAUGACAAGAAGAGUGUCCCAACUUACUUUCAAAACUCCAAAUUCACUUGUGUACGAGUUAAGUGAACUUAAGGAUAUGGGAUUUUGCUUCAAUUCUGGAACAUGCGUGACAUCUAUGAGUGUUCUGAUAAAACGUUCAAACAUUCUGAGUGUGAUUGCACCAACUCCGACAACUUUACACUGCGCAUUAUUCUCCAUUAUCACUGCACCUCUCGUAACUCCCUCAUAUGUUGUAAACCAGUCCCUGUUGAGACACAUAUGGAAAGUACAAGUUGAGUCAAUGAACCCAUUCCUCACAAGGUUUGGAAUCCAUGUCAAAAAUUACAAGAAACUCUUCUUCACUUUGCCCAUCUUCCACAACAUCAGCCUUUGCUAAAUUAACAGGUUGCUUUUCUCUUAGUAGCACCAGCAAUCUUAUUCAUUUUUUUUUUCAAGAAAUAGCAAUCAGCCCUGAUAUGUCCAUUCUUCUUAUAGUAAAACUUUCUCUGCAUGUUUGGAUUUUGAUCUGCCUGUCAUACUCCUACCAGAUUUCUUGUCCUGAUUUCUCCCUAUAAUAAUCAGGCCUUCUACCUAACUCCUAGAUCUUCCAACAAGAUGCAUCAUUUUUUUCUUUGAUAACAAAGCAACAUAGACCUCUUCCAAAGUGAGAGUGUCCCGACUAUAGAUAAUUGUAUCUCUAAAAAUUACAUAUGAUGGUGGUAGAGAACACAACAUCAAUGCCAAGUCCUCAUCAUCAUACUUAAUCUCCAAUGUCUCCAAAUCGGCCACGAUUUCUUUGAACGUGGUUGACUGAUCAUCCAAUGAUGCACUUUUUGACAUCCAGUGAGAAUACAAGCGCUGUUUUAAGUAUACUUGCUGGUCAAGCUUUUUGUAAUACAAAGUUGCUCCAACUUUAACCACAAUGCAGUGGCACUAUUUUCCUUGAAGACAUCUUGAAGAAUUCGAUUUUAUAGAUGUAGAUGAAUUUGGGUUUGGGGUUUUCGAUCCCUACGCUGCUUUUCUUCUUGUGUUCAGGUUGAAAGCAUCUUAUCAAAGCUAAACAAGACUUCCUUCAAAUCCAUCCGCUAGAGGACUGCUUACAUCUUUACUUGCCAUAAAGUAAAUCACGUGCUUCGAUCCAAUAAUGGAAUAUCAAACUUCAUCGUUACCAUGUAGAAUAAUCAACCUUCACUCUAAUACCCCUUGCUGUGAAUUGAUCGAAAGAAUAUGACAAUAAUGAAGUAAACAAGAGCAAAACAAGAACUCAAAGAUUUUAUGUGAAAAUCCAAGAUGGAAAAAAAACCACAGGUAGAUGAGAAGAAUUCACUACAAUCAAUAGCAAUUGUAUAUCUCAAUACUCUUAGCUAAGAUUUAAAACUCUCAAGAUGUCGUACUGUCUUUUCUAUAUGAGAAUACACGCCAUUAUGUGUGUGUGUUUGUGUGUAUAUAUAAGUUGUAGAUGAAUAAAAGUCCAAAAUGCGUUAAAACGUGAAAAUACAAGAAACACUGUCGCUCGAACAAUAGGGGACGAGAAGCAGGUAACAGUUUUCUAUUUCGAAUUUGACAAUUUUGCUAGAGUGUCUAGCUAGCAAAGAGCUAGCGAAAAUGCGGUAAUAAUUUAUCUCGGUUCAUAAGUUGAUUUCUCCAAAACCACUUCAAAUUAGAACUGCAAUACCCACUAGGGGACACACUACAACAAGAUGGUUAUUGGCAAGAGAUGCAGGUUUAUGUUAUUGCUACAUUAUGUUAUUGAUUACAUUUUUAAGUUUAUGCUAGUUUGAAAACAUAUAUUUUACACCGUUUUUCAAUAUAUUAUAUUUCUUGCUAGGCAUGUUGAAUAGAAAAUCUUAAGAGUAAUUCUCAAGGCGAAAUGGCAUAUGAGCUUUGUUUGUUUUAAAACUUAUUCCGACGGAGGUUUUGCUUCAUUUUCAUAUAUACAUAUAUCAAUGUAUUUUCUUUAUCAUCUCAAAGUUAUUGCAUUUAUCAUGAACUUACUGUAAUUUAUAAAAAAAAAAUUGCUUACAUUUAUCAUAGCCUUACCGUACAAGUGCUCAAGGAACUAAUAGAUUGUGACUGCAUUCAUGAAAGGUCAAAGCGAUAGCUUUUUUAUUUCAAUUGUUUUAGGUGAGGAUGCUUUUCAAAUUAUAUGUGAAAGAGAAAUAUUUUCUUGUCUCGAAUCAACUGCAAAUAGAAUUCGAGGUCUUUGUAUUUUAAAAGGAGGGAGCUACAAGUCUAUCAGUUUUACAAAGCAAACGGCAAACCUACUGGCUCCACCAGAAUAGGAGUAAGUCAGAUGACGUUGUUUGAGCAACUUGAGCAAAGCUUGAUUGAAUUGAAGGCCAACUUUGACAAGUUCUUUCAACAACUAGAAGAUGCCAGAUGGGACACAAACCAAAUAAAUCUUAAGGUGCCUAGGGAAAUAUAAAUUGAUGAACACCUGACUGUCUUAAUAGAGACUUAUAAUGAAGAGACUGUUUUCUUAUGCUCUCGGUCAAAUGUACUUUUUUACAUUCAAAUUUGAGCUAUCGUUGCUCCAAGGCGUUUAGAGGCGGCAUCUCCUUAUUGAAUUGAUCUCGAAAUGAGCUAGAUACAAUUUGCUAUCCAUCUCUACCUUUCUUUCAAGCUUCAUCAAGCAGCAAAUGAAUUGUAAUAUUAAACAACAUUUGUAGAAAAUAUGUUACAUGAACUUACUAGCAAUUUUAUGCUCAGUUGGUACUACAAAUCUCUCAAUUUUUUAUACUUGACUUAUAGAGUGUUAAGCAUAAAAAAAGAAUGUUCUAGAUUUCAUUGUUGAUUUCUUAGAUUUUUCCAUAAUUGAUCGUUUUGUGGUAUGAGUUCUUCCAUGUCACAUUAUCUACCCAUUCAUGUGAACACCAAUUUACUUAAAAAGUGAAUCUAAUAUGAACUAAUAAACUACAAUCAACUAAAUUAUUCUCUGACAAUCUCGUCCUCCCUUUAAGGACAUAAAAUCACAUUGAAAAGAGGGAUGUGAAGUAACACACAUGAGCUCACCUAGAUACCGACGAAGCAAAGCCUUCUAUGAAUAAACCAUCUACCAUGGAAGAGCCACAUCCUACAAGGAAUCAAAAUAAGCCCUUGCAUAGAAGAGUUAACCCCUUGUAAAAAAGUAAAAUCGCUUAAAAAUGAGAGGUGUAAAGCAACCUACAGAGGCCCACCUUGAUACCCACGAUGCGAAAUCUUCAAUGGAUGAACCAUCCACCAUAGAAGAAGUCCUUGCAUGGAAGAGCCACUUCUAUAAGGAAACAAAAUAAGCCCUUACAUGAAGGAGUUAACCACCUGUAAGGAAGUAAACCCACUUCAAAAGUAAAGAUGUGAAGCAACCUCUUGAAUCACCAAAGAUCCCUUUUUUACAUUAUACCAAUCAAAUCCAUUAGAAAGAUUCGAAAUCAACAAAAGAAAAAGUAAGUGGACCAAACAACAGAAAAACCUACUUCUGCAAAUGACACCUACGAAGUUUCCAUGAAUGAACCAUCCACCACGAAAAAAGUCGUUGCAUAGAAGUGUCACCUCCUACAAUGAAACAAAACAAGGUCUUGCAUGCAAGUUGAAAACAUGCAAGGACCUCGCUGUCGUCUAGUGGGAAGAUAAGGCAUUUCUAAUCAUUUUGCACAAGUCCGAUCAAUCUCUUGUCAUGUCAACACCUCACAUCCACCUAUUGGGUUCUUUAUACAUUAGUUAUUCUUCAAUAUGCUAACUCUUAUUGAAGGGUCUCGCCAGAUUAAUAUUUUAUUGUUAUCACGGGCUUAUCUACUUCAACAGGCUUUCCCUCUUCGAAGGGCUUCGCCAGAUUAAUAUUUCAACCUUAUCACAAGCCACAUCUACUUCAACAAGCUCGCUCUCAUUGAAAGGCCUCAUCAAAUUUUUAUUUAAACCUUAUCACAUGCCGCAUUUACUUAAACAAGCUCGUCUUCAUCAAACGGCUUUGCCAUAUUAAUAUUUCAGCCUUAUCAUAGGAAGCACCUUCUUCAACUAACUCACCUACCUUGAAGGGCCUUGCCAAUUCAUAUUUCAAGCUUAUCACAUCCUACAUCUUCAUCAACAGGCUUCGCUCAUUGAAAGGCCUUGUCAGAUUCAUAUUUCGACCUUAUCACAUGCUACAUCUUCAUCAACAGGCUUGUCCUCAUCGAAAGACUUCACUAGAUUCUUAAUUUAGUCUUAUCAUAGGCUGCAUCUUCAUCAGUAGGCUCAUCCUUACCGUAGAGCCUCACCAGAUUAAUAUAUCAGCCUUAUCAAGGUUCGACCUUUACAAUGGGCUUGUCCUCAUGCAAGGACCUCGUCCAAAUUCAAGUUCACAAGCUAUUUCAAAAAUUUACUUGUAUUAUACAUUUUAAGUCUACGAAUUUUAUAUAUAAUCAUGCUUUGACUUGAGGGGCUAUUGUGCUACGCUAUCCCUUCGCAAUUGAGAGAAUUACGAAAGCACAUAUUCAACCAACUUAAAAUAGUCAAUGCCUCUUCUAGUAAGGCUCUAUCAUGGCCAUGUGGUAGCCACAUAAAAAACAAUCUUGAGCUCACAUUCCUUGUUAUUCCACCCAUAUGGUAAAUUUUUGCAAAACCCCUAUGGUUGGGUCGAACCUAUAUGCAGGGGACGAACCCAUUUGAAGGAUCGAGCCUUUGUGAAUAAGUCAAUGUAGUUAGAGUCGUUGCAUUAGAAUUUCUACAAAGAAUCUUCCAUGAUUGACUGAUGUGACUUCUUAUUGCAACAGCCAUUUCUAUAUAUUAAUCUUCCACUCAUUCAUCGUUGCAUGGUCUAUUUGUGUGAGUUCAAAAGUUGCUUAUAAUUAAUUUUGUGUUCUUGAUUGACUAAGCGAAGAGUAAUAUUAAUUCUCACUUAUUAUUAUUAAAACAGAUAUAAACUUUCUAGUCUUGAAAUUUGAAUGGAGAUCUAGAUGAUGAAAAUUAAUUUCUAUAAUAAAGAAUUGAAAAGCUUCAGGGAUGAAUAUAUAAUAGUUGUGUGGAUGCAUAGUAUUUAAAUGAAUGAAUUUAUUAAGGAAAAUGUUGGAAUAUGAUGUGGACUAAAAUAGUUUUUUUUUUUUUUAAAUAUUAAUAGGGAUGAGUUUAAAGUGGGAUAGAUAUAUAAAAAAUGUGAACGGGAAUAGCGGCAUACUUUUUUUUUCUUGCAAAUUCCAAUUUCUAUUUUGUUCUUAAAUAUAUUUCUAUAUUCUGCAUUUUACUUACAGGAUCUUCUUUUGUGAGGGGAUGAUGACGUAGUGGAGCAAGCAUUGAAUUAUUAAGUGAAGUAUGAGUGCUUGAAGGAAGCGUAAAGAGGAGGCAGAACUUCUGAUUCUGUUUAAAUUGUUUCUCUCAUUUGCAUUUAUUCCUUCAGUUUUAAGUCCUUUUAAUUAUGCUUUGUUAAAUAAUUACCGUAAUCGGUUAGGGGGCUAAUUGUCUUUUAGUUAGUAGAGAGCCUCUCUUAUCUUUGCAUAAAAAUGUCAAAAUUUAGUUAUUCUCAAUGGUCCCCAACCCUCUCCCCCCAUAUAUAUAUAUAUAGGGGAAAGAAAACAAGAAAAGAUGAAAUUAAAAACAAAGAAUUUGAGUAAAGAGAAAUUUUAUUAAUAAUAGAAAUGUUACAAAAUUGAAAUUUUUGCAGAGAACAAACUUCUAUUGCCAAAUUCGAUCUGUCUUGAAUGAAGAAGAGGCUUCCUUCUUAUAGAGGAGUCCAAACUUCAAAUUUUUCUUCAUUUUGAAGAGUAUUGAAAAGCAGCGUCUUCUUUUGAGAAGUGGGGAACAAAAUCUUGAAUUACUUUUGGCAUCUUUUGACUAACUUUAUAAAAGUAGAAACUUUACUUUAAUAAAGUUAAUUUUGGCAUGCACAUCUUGAAAUGAAUGUCUUUUGCUUUUGUAACCCGGUAAUUUCUGAAUUCUUCAAGAAAAUUGGGUUCUUGUAGUCAUUUGAUUCUUACAACCUUCUCUUUUUCAUGUGCAAGAAAAUCGUCAUAACAUAAAUCAAUUAGGUCAUCACCAUUCUCUGUCUCUUGAGAAUUUUGGGUUUCUUUAUCUGAGUCUUGAGUAUUUGAUUUUUUAGAUCCAAAAUUAGAAAUUUGUUCAUAACUUUCUAAUAAUUCUUUCAGAUCUUUGCAUUUUGAUAACAUUGAAAUGAUCCUUUAUUUUUCAGUCAGAAAAUCUACCUGACUUUCUUGUUAUUUCUCAACAAUUUGUUUUGUUGAAUUUUGACCACCAUUUGACUUUAAAUCUUCUGGUAAUAUUUUGAGUGAAGAAUUCAUCAUUUUGAUUCUGAAGCAGAAAGAAAUCCCAGCAAAAGAUCCAUGAUACUUUCAUAUUGAAGGCAAAUUGAAACAAAGCAUUUUCAUGAGGCUUUAAAAAUGUUUUCGCCUCUCUUUUGAAGUAUUCAUAUCCUUGAAGAGUAAGACUCGGUAAAAUUUUCUCUCCAAGUCCAUGAUACACAAACCAAGUUUGAAACCAUUUUGAAAAAUGAGAACGACAAUUUUGAUUAAAAGGAAUGAACCAUGAAUGAGUAAUAUGUCUAAACCAAGCAUUCAAAUAAUCAAAAUAUUCAAAAGUUGAAAAAAUUGUUGAAGAGAGCUUAAGUCUCUUUUCUUCCAAAGGAUCUUGUCCCCAGUUUUCAUAAGACAAUACCCUGAGGAUACUGAUUUUUAAAUACAUUGUUUCUUCUUUAUUUUGAGAAUCUGGAGUAUGAGAAAUUAUGGCUAAUCCUGUUUUUAAAAGGAUAGUUUCAUAAUAAUCUCGGGAUUUUUUGACAUUUGAUGGCAUAAACCAGAAAUUUUUUGGAAAAAUAUUUGGAAGACAAUCUUCCAAGUUUGAGUAUCUAUUAAGCCAAGAUGUUACUAUAUCAAGACAAUUUUCAAAGAUACUUUUGCUGAAAUGUUAAAAAAAAUUUGGCAGAUUGAUUUGAGGAAGUUUUUCAGAACUUUGAACGGUUUUUUUGUAAUUUGAAGGGGUAGCUUUUUCUUUGAGUUUAUUUUGAUCAGGUUUUUUGAUAAGAGAAGAAAGGGUACUUGAAGAGGAUGAAGCUUCUUGAGCUUCUUUUUUGGAAUGAUCUUUUAAGAGAUCAUUAAUUGAGGAAAUUGGAGUAGAAUUUUUCUUUCUACUUUGUUUCUUUUGAAACAAAUUUUGAUCUUCUUCUUCAACUUGCUUCACCCAACUCAUUUUUACUCUUUUUAUGGAUGAACUCUUUUGUGAGAAAGUCUGCCAAGAAGUUUGAUUUCCCUUGUAUAUAAAGAAUUUCAAAAUCAAAACAGGACAAAAUAGCCUGCCAACUUGCAUAGAUUUGUUUGGAAACAAUAUUUUUCUCAUCUUUUUGUAAAACAUAUUUUGAGGCUUUACAAUCAGUUUUCAAAAUAAAUUUUUUGUUAAUAAGAUCGUCUUGAAAUUUUGAAAUACACAGUACUAUUGAAAGAAUUUCUUUUUUGAUAGUGGAGUAAUUCUUUUGAGGGCCGGUCUAUACACCACUGUGAUACUUAACUAACUGUUCUUGAGAUGACUCUAGUGAAAUUUGUUCUAACACACCACCAAACCCAAUAUUUGAUGCAUCUAUCUCAAUAAUAAUUGAGGCUUUGGGGUAAAGGAUUGAAAGACAUGGAAUAUUUUUGAUUGCUUUUUUGACCUUUUGAACUGCAACUAUGUGCUCAUGACUCCAUGGGUCAGGAUUGUUUUGUAAUCUUUUGAAUAAUGGGGCACAGAUUUGACGUAUACUUUUGACAAAAUUAGCCACAUAAUUGACACAACCUAAAAAAUGUUGCAAACUUUUUUUAUCAAUGAUUUCAUCAGGAAAUUUCUCAAUGAAAUUAAGACUUCUUUGAAUUGAAGUAAUAGUGUCAUAAUGAAGUAAUGUCCAAGAAAACGAAUUUUUGUUUGAAAUAAAACAAUUUUCUGAGUAGAAACUGCUAAGCCAUUUUUCUUUGUAAUAUGAAUGAAUGUAUGUAUAUACUUGAAAUGUUGCUCUAUAUUUUCAGAAAAUAUAAGAACAUUAUCAAUAUAAACAAUAAUGAAAUUUGAAAAAGGAUUAAAAAUGUUUUUCAUAAUUUUUUGAAAUUCAAAGGGAGCACUUUUGAGACCAAAAGGCAUAACAUUCCAUUCUUAUUGUUCGAAAAGAACAUUGAAAGCAAUCUUAUAUCUGUCUUCUUCUUUAAUUUGAAUAUACCAGAAACCUGACUUCAUAUCAAAUUUUGAGAAGAUAACAGCUUUACAAAGAUAAUCAAAAGAAUUUUUUGUUAAGGAAUAGGAUAUCUAAUCCAUUGAAGAGCAGUAUUAAGAUGUUUAUAAUUGAUAACCAAACGAGGAACUCCCCAUUUUAUUUUAGCAAAAUUAUUAACAUAGAAAGCUGAACAGCUCCAAGAAGAUUUACUUGGUCGGAUUAAAUCUUUUUCAAGUAAAUCAUCAAUUUCUUUGAUGCAAAAAUCAAGUAACUCUUUGUUCAUUUGAAUAGGACGAGAUUUUAUAGGAAUAUUUGAUUCAUGAAAAUUAGAAUUGUACGGAAGAGAAACAACAUGUUUCUUUCUAUCCCAGAAGGCAUUUGGAAUAGUUGAACAAAUUUCAUUUUCAAUUUUAUUUUGAAGUUUUGAAAUUUUUUUCUUGAAGAAAAGAUUCUUGCAAUAUUUUUUCCAUUUUUUGAAAUUGAAUUUCUUCUUUAAGAAAUUAAAUAUGAUUUCUUUUUAAAUUAAUAUUAUUGAUAAUUUUUUAAAUUGCAAUUUCUUUUAAAGAAUUGAUAUCUUUAUAAGAAGGAGGAUUUGUAAAUUCAAAAAAUAUUUUUCAACCAAACACUUUUGUAAUUAAUCCUUUAGCAUCGGCUUUAAAUAGAGUUGGACAAAACUUCCGAACCGAACCCGACGGUUCUUCAAGUUAAAUACCCGAACGGGUAUUUGAAUCAAGAACCGACGGGUAUGGUUCGGUUCUCUGUUUUAGGCCAAGACCCGAAGAACCGAAUAGGAACCGAAUCUUCGUAAUUUUUUUAAUUAAUUUAUUUUAAAUAAGUAAAAUUAUUUUAUUUUUCCUACAUAAAUUUGUUAACUAGUUAAUUUAGUUCAAACCACAAAAUAUGAUUUUUCCUAUUUCUAAUUUUCAGAUCAAAAUCAACUUAAUCAAAUUGAUCUCAAUUUUAUCCAAAUUUGGUAUUCUACUGUAGUAUCGUUUCUACCGGAGAAAAUCGAAUUAAAGCUCUACAAUAUCUUUUUUAAUUAUUUUGAGCUCGCUAUCUUUCUCUUUCUAUGAUUUUAAUAGUCAAAUUUAUGAAGAAUUCAGUAAAGAGAUACGUGAAACACAUAAGAUUGAACUACAUUAUUUUGUAAGAGCUAAUAUCGAACAUAUCAUUAAUUAAAUUAACGUAACUUUGUAUAUAUUAAAAAAAUUAAUUAUAAUACGGAACCGAAUGGAACCGAGUCGGACUGAACCAAAUCGAAUGGAACCGAACCCGAACGGUUCCUUAAUUAAAUUUGGAUCCAAUGGUUUCACUUACUAAAUACCCGAAAAUUUCGGGUCCGUUUGGUUCUCGUUAGAAUCAAACCGUACCAAACCAUGUCCAGCCUUAGCUUUAAAAGGAUAAAUUUGAACAAUAAAAGGUGUACCAAAAAUAUCUUCUUGAUCUAAAUCUUUUACAAAAUAAAAAAUAUUUUUGAAACAAAUAUUUGAAUUGCAAACAUGAGCUUUUGAAAUUUUAUAAUUAAUAUUAAAUUUUUUUCCACUAGCACCAUAAAGACACUCAGUGAUUUUUUCAAAGUAUUUUGUAGGAAUUAAUCAUUCUUUAAUACAAUUUUGAUCUGCUCCUGAAUCAAUAAAAACCCUAGUUGUAAAUUUGAAUUCUUUAUUUACAACAAUGAUCAUAUUGCAAUACCAUUUUUGAAGUUGAAUUCGGUUAAUAACAUUAACAUUUUCUUCUUCAGAUUUAAGAAUUUUGAAAUCAGAAUCUAAUAAGCAAUCAGAUGAAGAUUUAGAAUGUUUUGAAGAUCGCUUGGAAGAAACUUUUGAUUUUCCUUUGAAUUUUGAAUAAAAUUCAUCAUUUAAGUCUUUUGCUUUCAUACAAACGACUUCCAUGUGAAUUUAUUUGACUUGACUUUCAAGAUAUGAAAUUUGAGUUUUCAUACCUUUAAUUUCUUUUUGAAGGUCAGGAAUGGAAGGUUUAGAACCUUUUGAAAAUUCUUUUUGAGUACGUUUGAGAAUAUGAUUAAUAUUGAUAUCAUCAAAAUCUUGUUUUGAAAUAGAAGGUAAAAGGGAGGAGAAUUUUUUCUUGAGAUCAAGAUUAUCAAUCCUAUCAAAAAUAUCUUGAAUAAUCUCUUCUUCUCGAGAUAAAACAUUCAUAGUUUUACAACCACGAAUUUCUUUAUCUGAGUUUGAAGAAUUAUCACAGGAAUGAAGGGUAGAUAAUCAGAAUUUUCUUGAUCAAGAAAAACUUGUUCUAAUUUUGAGUUAGACUCAUUAUCAGAACUUGAUUAAAUGAGAUUGAGAAGUUGGGUUUUAGUAUCUUCAUCAAUUUGAAGAGUAUUAAUUUUCUUUUUGAGUGGACAUUUAUUGGAAUAAUGACCAGUCUUAUUACAUUUGCAAUAAGUAAUACUUGGAGAAUUUUUUGAAAUUUUCUUCUUUGAAAAAUGUUUUCUUUUUGAAAAUUUUCUUUUAGAAAAUUUCCUAUUUUGAUUUUUUUUUAGAUUUUAAAGAAGAAGGAAUGAUUUUUUCAAAACCAAUUGUUCAUAGAAAGAUCCAAGAUUUUUUUGACUUUCUGACUUUUCUGUUUUCAAUUUGGCUUUGAGUUUUAAAUCAUUGCACAAAUUUAAAGCUUCACAAUUAAUAUAAUUGAUAAUUUCACCUUAUGUAAGUGUUUGAAGGUCAUCAAAUUCUUUAAAAAUAGAAUUUUUGACUCUUUCUGCAAAGAGUUUUGGAAGACCUGAAAUAAAUUUUUCUUUCCAAAAAGAUUGUUGACAAUUUUCUCUAAUCAUGAUACGAGAUAAAAACAUAUCUUUAUACCAUCGAAAAUCUUGUAGUUUUGGACAUCUUAAAUUUAUUAAAAUGUCAUUUUGCAUUUAAACAAUAUUUUCGGGAGUACCAAUAAAAUGUUUGAUAAUAGUUAAACUAAGAACAGAAAAACUAUCACUGAUUUCAUUUCCAUUUUCAUCAUGAAUAAUAUUAUUAUUUUCAUCACGUUUAACAGCAGAAAAGAUAAUAUCCUUCUCAGUUUGAGAAAUGUAAUUAUCCCACUAUUGACCAAGUUGUCCAGUGAAUCCAAGAACAAUAUUAUUGGUAGCAUCUCUUCUUGAAGUACCUUUUGCAAGAUAAGUUUUAUAACACAUGGUCAUUUGUCCCAUAAAAUUGAUUAUUUGAUAUUCGGUAAGUCCAUCGAGAUUCUAUUUGACACCGGAGUUACCAUCAUAUGAUUUUUGAGGUUUAGCUUUUUCUUCAGAAAGUUGGUUUGGGAAUGAAGGACGUGGAUAAAAUUUUGGAAGAUUUUGAUAAUCAAAUUUCCUCAAUUUGUUAAUUGAAUCAAAUUUUUCAUCAAUAAAUUGAGAUUCUAUUUCAUCAAUGGUAUUGAUAUUUUUAGAGACAUGAAAAUUUUUUAAUUGACUAGAGAAUUCAUAAAGAAUUUCACUUUCAGUUUGAAAAGUUGAAGAUUUUCCAAAUUGAGGAAUAAUAUCAUUGCUUUUGAAAAUUGAAGAGGAAGAGGAUGAUGCUUUUGAAAAAUUCUUAUCUUUACUAUUACUUUCUCUAGAUUCUUUAAAAUAAUCUUUUGAAGAAGUAAUAUUCUCAGAUUCAGAAUUUGAUUCGAUUCUAUUGAGCUAAGAACACAUAGAUUGAAGAACAACAUUAGUAUAAUUGUUCUGAGAUUGAAUAUUUUUGAUAUCCUUAGUAACAAUCUAAGAUUCAUCAGAUCGUUCUUUAGGAAUUCUUUUGAGUGGAGAUGCAAGGAUUUUAGUUUUUCCAUGAGGAAUAACUAUUUCUUGCAUUGGAGGAUGAAUAGAUUGGAAAGUAUUUCCUUCUGGAAUUUUCCAAGUAUUAAUAUGAGUUUUUGAAGUAAAAUUUUUUGUCCUUUCUGGUUUUUUACCAAAAACUUCGAAUUGAGUCAAAUCAUAGAAAUUUAAAUCAGUAGAAGAUUUAAAAUAAUCUUCCCAAUAAGAUUCUUUUUGUUUUAAAGAAAAACUUUCUCUAAAAAGUCUUCUGAAAUUUUUAACACAAAUAUCUUGAUCAUAUUUGAAUUCUUUCUUCUAUCAAUUUCAGAAGAAAUAACAUUACAUUGAUUAUCAAGAUUGGAAAGAGGAACCAUAUCUGAAAAAGUUGGUGAUUCUGGUUGAUUAUCAUCUUUUUUAUAUUCAUUUUGAUAAUGAGGUUUUGGAAUAAUAGGAGUAAAAUCUGUUCCUUUAUAUAAAGAAUGAAAAGAUGAUCUAGGUUUCUCUUCAGACCUAGUAAAAAAGGAUUUUGCAGAAUUAGAUCUUUGAAUCUUUGAGGAUGAACCUUUAAGAAGAAUCUUAGCUUUUCCAUCUGGUAAAGUAAGAAUUUGAUUCGGAGUUGUUUGAUUUUGAGCAGGAACAGGUGCUUGAACAUUAUCAAAAUUUCAUUUGAGUCCUCGAGACUCAAGAUUCCAUGGAAUUCUUUUUGGGAUUUUGACAUUUGAAUGAAAAAGAUUAACUUCAACUAAAAGACUUUCAUCUCUUGGUGAAGAAUGAAGAGCUUCAAUAUUGAGUUGAGUGUUCGUAAGUUUAUAAUAUACUCUGUAUAUUACAACAAAAGCAUUUGAUCUACUAUUAAAUUCAAGAUUUUUAGUUUGAAUAUGAAGAUUGAGAGAAUUGAGAAUUGCUCCAUCAGUGAGUUUGAUAGAAAAAUUUGGAUAACAGUUUGAAAAUACUGGACUACUUUCUAGAUUUGAUUCUAGAAGUGAAAGUAGUGAGUUUUCAAAAUUGAAGUGUCUCUUAUCUCUAAGAGUCAUAAGAAUUGGAACAUCAAGACCAAGUCUAAACAAGGGAUUGACCGCUAUGUGAUCUAAUCCAACAUGAAAAUAUUUAAAUUUCUUCUUGUGGGAUUCAAUAGCUUCUUUUGUAAGUAAAUUAAUGAAAGAAUUUUGAUUAUUGAUUGAAACAGUUUGUUCAAUAGUUUUGAUAACAUAAUUUUGAGAAAAAAAAUCAAAUUUUCCUAUUUCAUAGGUCGUAUGUUUGUCCAUCUUUGGAAUAGUCCAAUUUUGAAAACGUUGUUCAAUUUGAGCAAUUUGAAUUUCAUGAGAAUUUGAAUCAUUUGAUUCAGAUAAUGAUGCUGAUGCAUGAUCAAAUUCUUCUUCUGUUUGAAAAAUAUUUGUUCUAUUCUCAUUUGAUUGAUUUUCUUGUCUAUUUCUAGAUUUAGAUCUCCUUAACCAAUUAGUUACUGAAGACAUAAUUGAAUAAAAAUGAAAUUAAUGUGAAACAAAGUAAAGACAAAACAAUAAGAAAGACAAGUUCUCACCAAGCCUACAAUGGGACCACCCUUCAACGCCUACACGGGCAACACGGGCUGAUCAAAACUUAACAACAGACGUCCAGAUUUGAACAAGAUUUUCCUAAAUAUUUUGUGCCCAUACACACACACACAUAUAUAUGUAUAUACAUAUGUAUAUCUAUAGUGACAAGGUACAAAUGUUUGAAAAUGAAGAAAAUAUUAUUGAUAAAUAAAAAUUGAAAUACAAAUAUUGAGAUGAACAUUGAAUUAUACGAUUGAAAAUAAAAUUUGAAAGAUAAAGACGGUGAUUUAUGUCCGCUAAAUCAACUCUCUUGAGAGCUAUACUGAAUAAAAUCUAAUGAGAGAUGCACUCAAUAAACUCUGAAGAGAUCUUAAACACUUGAUUUGUUUUUAUACUUGAUAUCUUGAGCUCCAAUCUUGAAAAAGAAUUUUGAAUAAUUGCACAUUUUGAAACUUUUGCACCUUCCACUUGGAAAAUUUGGAAAGUAGUCAUCAUACUUUUCCUUUGAUUGAAAACCAUUGUCUUCUCUUUUGCAAAAGUAGGCAUCAACUUUAGUCAUAGCUCUUGACUAAAAUUCAUUGAUUGAUCAUCACCUUUUGAAUUUGUUUGCUGGUCACUUUUGAAUCUUGAAACAUUUGCUCAACUUUUGUCUUAAAAAUUAAGCAAAUUAUUGAGAUUGAAUAAUUCUUCAUCAACAUAACUGAGACUAGGCCCUUGAAAAGGUUCUUCAUUUCUUUGAUAAAUAUCAUCAAAACAAUCUUGAGACAUUGAUAGUUCAUCAUCAAAUAUUUUCUUGAUCAAAGGAACUUGAGUUUGAGUCUACUUUUCUUCAUCAGUAAAAAUGAUGUAAUGUCCAUCAUGAAACAUUAAUUGCAAUCUUGCAUCAUCAAUAUUUGUUCCAAGCUUAUUCUUUGCAGCAAGAAUGGAUUUUGAUCUAAUUUUUGUAAGAAUUUCUCUUACAUCAUUUUUGAGUAUGAUAUCUUGGUCUUCAAGACUGUAAGCUUUUGAAGAGAUAUUUGAAUUUGGCAUUGAAAGAUUAUUUGACAAAGUACUCCGGAUAGUAACAAUUUAUUUACCUGGAAAAUACUCAUUAGUAAAAAGAGUAUCAUUGAAUUUGACUUCAUCUACAAUCCAUUCAGGAAGAAGGUUGAUAAUUCAAUUUUGAGGGUUUUAACUUUGAAUUUAAAGAGAUGAUUAAUAACUCUUUUAAGAGAGCUAUUAAAAAGAGAAAUAUCUGUUUUCGAAUCAAUAUAAAUUGAGAAAAUAAAUCCCUAUUCAAUCAUUUGAUGAAUUUCUUCAUUAACGACGUUAAUGAUUGACGUAUCUUUGAGGGUAAAAUAAAGUUUGUGAUAACUUUCACAAUUUGCAAAACAAUUGAAAUAAAAGUUAUCAAAAAUUCUAAAAAUAAUUUGUUUGAAUUUUUUUAGCACAAGUAGAGUCUCUAUUGAUAAUAUUUUGAUAAAUGUCAUCAGGAAGUUUUAAGACUUCCUUCAUAAGAUUUCUUCUAUUCCUUUUCAAUAGGAAUAUAUUUUGAGAAGAAGAUUCUUUUGAAAUAUUUUGAAAAAUAAUUCUUUCCUUUUUCUUAGAAUUUUUUUGAAAAUUUUUGAUAAUUUUGUUACUACGGUCAAAAAUUUCAGUAGUACUUUUUGAGUCUUCUAAUAAUAACCUUAUUACUUCUUUGAUAAUAAGUAGUAAGAAUAUCAUCAAGAUUAUCCUUUUGAAAUUUUAAAAGUCUUAUAUGAGUUUUAAACUCAUAGAAUUUUGAUUCAGAUCCUGAAUAGGAAUCUGAUUAAUAAGAUUUGCCUUUGUUCGAAGAAUUUGAUUCUUUGAUUGAGAACGGUUUAUAUCUUGAAAUAUUUUUGUCUUCCAAAGACUUUGGAGAAGAUCCAGAAAGGAGAAAAAAAUCGUUUGUAGUCAUAACUCUCAUCGAAGAAUUUGCAGGAGAAAAGUCUUACAUGAUAGUUUGAAUUUCAUUAAAUAAAUAGUGCCUUGAGAUGAAAUAAAAACAAAAUAUCUUGUCAUUUAGAAAUUUGAAAAAAUUGAAAAAUACUUGACUUGACAUAUUUGGAAUCUGCUUUAACACCCCCACCAAAGCCUAAAUCAGAGGCAUCGGUUUCUACAAUAAUUGAAGUAGUAGGGUCAAGAAUUGAUAAUCAUGGAAUAUUUUUGACAACUUUUUUGAUUUUUUGGACAGCUAAUGUGCACUCGUGUGACCAUGGGUCUGGGCUCUUUUGUAAUCUUUUGAAAAGAGGAGUACAAAUCAACCUUAUCUCUUAGAUAAAGUCAUCGGCAUAAUUGACACAACCAAGGAAUCUUUGAAGAGAAGAUUUGUCCAAAAUUUCAUCAAGAAAUUUUUCAUUAAAAUCUAAACUUCUCUGAAUUGGAAUAAUUGAACCAUUUUGAAUAUUAUGACAGAAAAAUCUUAUCUUUGUUUGACAAAAAAUAAUCUUUUUAGUAGAAACUGCUAAACCAUUUUUCCUGAUAACAUGCAUGAAUGUAUUGAUAUGCUUGAAAUAUUGUUCUAUACUUUUAGAAAAUAUAAGAACGUCAUCAAUGUAAAUAAUGAUAAAUUUGAAAAAUGAUUGAAAAUAUCAUUCAUGAUUUUUUUGAAAUUUAGAAGGAGUGUUCUUGAGACCAAAAGGCAUAACAUUCCAUUCGUAUUGACCGAAAGGAACAUUGAAUGCAGUUUUGUACUUAUCUUCUUCUCUAAUUUGAAUCUGCCAGAAACCUGAUUUUAUAUCAAAUUUUGAAAAGAUAACAGCUUUGAUUAAUCUAUUAAAAAGAUCUUUCUUUUUUGAGGAAGUGAAUAUCUAAUCUAUUGAAGAGCAUUAUUGAGAGGCUUGUAAUUGAUAACAAGACAUGGAGUACCACGUUCAAUUUCUGCCGAAUUAUUGACAUAGAAUGCUAAGCAACUCCAAGGAGAUUUGCUCAAACGAAUUAAACCUUUGUAAGUAAAUCAUUGAUUUUCUUGAUACAAAAAUCUAACAAUUCUUUGUUCAUUUGAACAUGACGAGAUUUUGUAUGAAUAUUUGAUUCAUGAAAAUCAGAAUUGUAUGGAAGAGAUACCACAUGUUUCUUAAGAUCCCAAAAAGCAUUUGGCAUAGUAGAACAAAUCUCUUUUUCCAUUUGUCUUUGAAGAUUUGAAAUUUUUUUUUGAAUUGAAGGAUUUUGCAAUUAUUCUUCAAUUCUUUAAAAUUUAAUUUCUUCUUUGAGAAAUCGAAUAUGAUUUUUCUUGAAAUUAAUAUUAUUGACAAUUUUAGAAAUUGAUGCUUCUUUUAAAGAAUUAACACCUUUAUAAGAAGGAGGAUUUGUAAAUUUGAAACAAAUUUCUUGAUCAAAUAUUUUUGUAGUUAAUCCUUUUGAAAUAGCUUGAAAAUGAUAAAUUUGAACAAUAAAAAGAGUACCAAGAAUUACUUCUUGAUCUAAAUCUUUUACAAGAUAAAAAAUAAUUUUGAAACAAAUAUUUGAAUUACAAACAUAAGCUUUUGAAAGUUUAUAUUGAAUAUUCAGUUUCUUACCACUAGCGCCAUAAAAACGCUCAGUAAUUUUUUCAAAAUAUUUUGUAGGUAUCAAUCCUUCACGGAUACAAUUUUGAUUCGCUCCAGAAUCAAUAAGGACUCUAGACGUGAAUUUGAAUUCUUUAUUGAUUACAAUAGUCAUAUUACAGUACCAUUUUUUAAGUUGAAUACGAUUAAUAACAUUAAUCAUUUCUUCUUCAAAUUGAAUAUUUGAAGGAAUGAGAGGAUUUGAUUCUUCACCAGAAGAACUGGAAGAAGAUGAAUAAGAAAGAGUCUUUGAAUUUAACUUCUUAUCUUGAGUUUUGAGAAGAGAAACUUCCAUCCUAACAUCUUUCAUUUGACAUUCAAGAAUAGAAAUUUGAGAUUUUAUGGAAUUGACUUACGAUUUUAAAUCAGAACUAGAAGAUUUUGAAGUUUUAAAACGAUUUAAAACUUUUUGCAUAUUGAAAGGUUCAGCCUUUGAAUUUGAAUUAAGAAGGGAAUUAAACUUAUUUUUGCGCUGUGGAUCUUCAGUUUGAUCAACAAUCUCUUUAAUGAGUUCUUUUUGUUAAGUAAGAACAUUUAUAGUUUUACAACCACAAAGUUCUUUACUUUGACUUGAAGAUGAUUGAGAGUUUGAACUAGAUUUAGCAUCUGAAUCUUCUUGAUUUUGAUAAACAUGUUCCAACUCUGAGCUUAACUCAUUAUCAGAACUGGAAUUUGAAUCAAUAAGAUUGAAAAGUUGAAGCUUAACAACUUCUUCAAUUUGAAGAUUAUUAAUCUUGCCUUUGAGAGAACACUUAAUAGAAUAAUGCCCAAAUUUUUGACAUUUUCAACAAGUAACAUUGCUUUUUUUCUUGAAAAUCUUUUCUUUUAAAAUUUCUUUUUGGAAUAAUUUUUUGAAUAAGAAGGUUUUUGAAAAUACUUUUCUUUUGAAUAAACUUUUCUUUUUGAAAAAUGUUUUUUUUCGUUUUUUAAGGAGAAAUAAUUUUCUCAAAUUCAUAUUGUUCACAGAAUGAUCCAAGUUCUUUGCGACUAUCUAAUCUUUCUGUUUGCAAUUUGGAUUUAAGCUUGAGUUCAUUACAGAGAUCUAAUCCUUCUCUAUUAAUGAAGCAAAUCAAUUCUCCGUAUGAAAGAACAUCAUAAGGAAUAUUAUUUGAAUGUUCAUUUUUUAUAGAAUUUUUAACUCUUUUAGAAAAUAAUUUUGGAAGUCUAGAUAAAAAUCUUUCUUUCCAAUAAGUUUCAUUACAAUAUUUUCGUAAAAAUACACAUGAUAAAAAUAUGUCUUUAUACCAACGAAAAUCUUGUAAACUUGAACAAAUUAAAGUUAAUAAAAUACCUGAAAUAUUUUUCUAAAACAUUUGUUGGAGAUCCAAUAAAAUAUUUAAUAAUACAAUAAAUUAUUGACAAUCAUUUGAACCAUAAGGUUUUAGAGCUUGAGCAAUUUGCAUUUUUUCUUGUUUAGUAAUAUAAUUGAACCACCAAUUAUUAAUUUAAUCAGAGAAUCCUUGAAUAAUAUUGUUUUUUUUGCUCAAUUGGAGAAAUUUCUUCUUGAAUAUAGAUGUUAUAAAUAGCAACCAUACUUUCAAGAAUUUAAAAUUUUAGAUAUUCAGUUAAACCAUCUAUAUUCCAGAUAGUUAUUCUUGAACCAAAAAAUGUUGUAGGCAUUUUAGCCUUUUUGUUUGAAAAGUAAAUUUGGAACAGUAUUUUUUGGAUAAUAAGGAGGAAUUUUUUAAAAUUGAACUUUUUUCCCUUGAAGCUUAUUGAUUUGAGGAACUUCAUCAUCAAUAAAUUGAGAUUCAAUAUCAUCAAUAGUAUUGAUGUUAUUUGAAGUAGAGGAUGAUGAUAUUUUUUAUAACUGAGUAGCAAGUUCUUUUAGAACAUUAAUCUCAAUUUUGAUACCAAUUUUGUGUUUAGCCUCAUGCCUGUUAAUUAAAACUGACUCUAUUGACUUAAUACCUUUUGAAAAGGAUGUUGUCUCAGAUUCAUAAUUUAUUUCAAUUCUGUUAAGCUGAGAACAGACAGAUUGAAGAACUACAUUAGUGUAGUUAUUUUGAGCUUGAAUAUUUUUGAUAUCUUUAACAACAACUUGAGAUUCAUCAUGUCGUUAUUCAAAUACCUUUUUGAGAGGAGAAGCAAGAAUUUCUGUGUUUCCAUGUAGAACCACAAUUUCUUGCAAAGGAGGAUGAGGAGAUUGAAUAUUCUCACCAAAAGGAGUUUUCCAAGUCUUCUGUGGAAUAUUAGUAAGUUGAAUAGAUUUUUCUUUCUUUGAUUUUGAAGAAAUCUUUGAAAAAGUAGGUUUUUUUAUUGAAAACAUUGAAUAAGCACAUUCAGAAAAAUUUAAAUCUUCAGGGAAUUCUUCAAAUUCUUCCCAAUAAGAUUCUCGUUCUUCUUUUGAAAAACUUUGAUGAAAUAUUUUUCGAAAACUUUUAACAUCAGGAGUUUGAUCAGUUUUGAAUUCAUUUCUUCUGUCAAUCCUAGAAGAAAUAUCGUUAGUUUGAUGAUCAAGCCUUUCAUUUUGAGUAGAAAACAUAUCAAAAAAAAGUUGGAGAAGCAGGUUGUUCUGAUUCUUCUUCUUUUUCUGUAUCUUUUUCAGAAUAUUAAGGUUUUAGAAUAUUUGGAGUAAAAUCAACACCUGAAAGAGAAGAUGUUAAGAAUCUUGCAGAUUGAUAAGAAGAUCUAGGUUUUAUCUUCAGAUCUCGAAGAAUAAGAUCUUUGAAACCUUUAGGAAGAUCCUUUUAACGUUAUUUGUCGUUUCCAUCUGGAAAAGUAAGAAUUUGAUUUGGAAUUGUUUGAACAGGGCAGGAAUAUGAUUUUGAACAUUUUCAAAAUUUCAUUCUAGUCCAUGACUUUGAAGAUUCCAAGAAAUUCUCUUAGAAAUUAUGGUGUUUGAAUGAAAAGGAUUACAUUCAACUAAAAUACUUUCAUCUUUAGGAGAUGAACGUAAAGCAUCAAUAUUGAGUUGAGUAUUCAUGAGCUUGUAAUAUAUCAUGUAUAUUACAGCAAAAGCAUUUGAAUGAUCAUCGAAGUUGAGAUUUUUGGUUUGAAUAUGGAGAUUUAGAGCAUUAAGAAUAGCUCCAUCAUUAAGAUUAAUUGAAAAUUUUGAAUAACAAUCUGAAUAAAUUGGACCACUUUCUAGAUUUAAUUCUAGAACAGAUAAUAAUGAAUUUUCAAAUUUGAGAAGUCUCUUAUCUCGAAGAGUUAAGAGAAUUGGAAUGUCUAACCCAAGCCUAAACAAAGGUUUGACAGUAAUUUGAACUAAUCCAACAUGAAGGUAUUUAAAUUUCUUCAUGUGGGAUUCAAUUGAUUCUUUUGAAAAUAGAUUGAUAUGAGCAUUUUGAUUUUUUAUAGAUAAUGUUUGUUCAAAAGUUUUGAUAACAUAAUUUUGAGUAAAAUCAAACUUUCCAAUUUCAUAGAUAUAAUUCUUUUCUACCGUUGGAAUUGUCCAACUAUGCAAUCUUUGUUCUAUUUGAGCAAUUUGAAGUUCAUUACUAUUGAAAUCAUUUGAUGCUAAUGAUGCAUAUGAUUGAUCAAUUUCUUCUUCAUUUUAAAAAACACUUGAAAUAUUUUCAGAUCUAUUUCUAGACCUCUGAAACCAAUUUGAAAAAGAGGAUAUAAUUAAAUUCAAUGAAAUUAUAACAAUUUACCACAAUAAAAACAGUUAAAUAAGAUAGACUAAUUCUUAUCAAGCCUACAAACGGGACCACCCUAACACGCCUUCCCCGGCUAACAACAGGCUGACCAACGUUAAUUCAGUAGACAUCCUGAAAUUAAAUCAGGUUCUCCUACUUAAACAUUGCAUAUGGUGAUAAACCACUACAAUCUCACCUCACUCUAUUAUAGCUCUGAUACCAAAAUGACCCAGGGUAUAGAAGAGUAGAAGUGAAAAAGAACAAAUAUUUGAAAAUGAAGAAAAUAUUAUUGAUAUAUAAAAAUUGAAAUACAAAUAUUGAGAUGAACUUUGAAUUACACGAUUGAAAAUAAAAUUUGAAAGAUAAAGACAGUGAUUUAUCUCCCGCUAAAUCAACUCUCUUGAGAGCUAUACUGAAUAAACUCUAAUGAGAGUUUGAAAAUGAAGAAAAUAUAAUUGAUAUAUAAAAAUUAAAAUACAAAUAUUGAGAUGAACUUUGAAUUACACAAUUGAAAAUAAAAUUUGAAAGAUAAAGACAAUGAUUUAUCUCCCGCUAAAUCAACUCUCUUGAGAGCUAUACUGAAUAAACUCUAAUGAGAGAUGCACUCAAUAAACUCUGAGGAGAUCUUGAACACUUGAUCUACUUUUAUACUUGAAAUCUUGAGUUCCAAUCUUGAAAAGAAUCUUGAAUAAAAUGACCCAGGGUAUAGAAGAGUAGAAGUGAAAAGUAACAAAUGUUUGAAAAUGAAGAAAAUAUAAUAAAAAUUGAAAUACAAAUAUUGGGAUGAACUUUGAAUUACACGAUUGAAAAUAAAAUUUGAAAGAUAAAGACAGUGAUUUAUCUCCCGCUAAAUCAACUCUCUUGAGAGCUAUACUGAAUAAACUCUAAUGAGAGAUGCACUCAAUAAACUCUGAAGAGAUCUUGAACAUUUGAUCUGCUUUUAUACUUGAAAUCUUGAGCUCCAAUCUUGAAAAAAGAUCUUGAAUAAUUGCACCUUUUGAAACUUUUGCACCGUCCACUUGAAAAAUUUGAAAAGUAGUCAUCAUACUUUUCCUUUGAUUGAAAAUCAUUGUCUUCUCUUUUGCAAAAGUAGGCAUCAACUUUAGUCAUAGCUUUUGACUAAAAUUCAUUGAUUGAUUAUCACCUUUUGAAUUUGUUUGCUCGUCACUUUUGAAUCUUGAAACAUUUGCUCAACUUUUGUCUUAAAACUCAAACAAAUUAUUGAAAUUGAAUAACUAGGCCCUUGAAAAGGUUCUUCAUUUCUUUGAUAAAUAUCAUCAAAACAAUCUUGAGACAUUGAUAUUUCAUCAUCAAAUAUUUUCUUGAUCAAAGGAACUUGAGAUCGAGUCUUUUUUUCUUCAUUUGUAAAAAUGACAUAAUGUUCAUCAUGAAACAUGAAUUGUAAUAUUGAAUUAUCAAUAUUUGUUUCAAGCUUUUUCUUUGCAGUAAGAAUGGAUUUUGAUCUAAUUUUUAUAAGAAUUUCUCUUACAUCAUUUUUGAGUAUGAUAUCUUGAUCUUCAAGACAAUAAGCUUUUGAAGAGAUAUUUGAAUCUCGCAUUGGAAGAUUAAUUGACAAAGUACUCCUGAUAGUAACAAUUUGUUUACCUGGAAAAUACUCUUCAAUAAAAAAGAGUAUCAUUGAAUUUGACUUCUUCGACAAUCCAUUCAGAAAGAAUGGUUGAGAAUUCAAUUUUGAGGGUUUUAAUUUUGAAUUCAAAGAGAUAAUAUUAACUCUUUUGAGAGAGCUAUUAAAAAGAGAAAUAUUUGUUUUUGAAUCAAUAUAAAUUGAGGAAAUAAAUUUUCAUUCAAUCAUUUGACGAAAUUCUUCAUUAACAACGUUAAUGAUUGAAGUACCUUUGAGGGUAAAAUGAAGUUUGUGAUAACUUUCACAAGUUGCAAAACAAUUGAAAUAAAAGUUAUCAAAAAUUCUAAAUAUAAUUUGUUUAAAUUUUUUAGCACAAGUAGAGUCUCUAUUGAUAAUAUUUUGAUAAAUGCAUUAGGAAGUUUUAAGACUUCCUUCAUAAGAUUUCUUUUAUUCCUUUUCAAUAGGAAUAUAUUUUGAGAAGAAGGUUCUUUUGAAAUAUUUUGAAAAAUAAUUCUUUCCUUUUUCUUAGAAUUUUUCUGAAAAUUUUUGAUAAUUUUGUUACUAUUGUCAAAAAUUUCAGUAAUAUUUUUUAGACAUCUAAUAAUAUCCUUAUUACUUCUUUAAUAAUAAGUAGUAAGAAUAUCAUCAAGAUUAUCCUUUUAAAUUGAAAAGUCUUAUAUGAGUUUUAAACUCAUAGAAUUUUGAUUUAGUUCCUGAAUAGGAAUCUAAUUGAGAAGAUUUACCUUUGUUCAAAAAAUUUGAUUCUUUGAUUGAGAACAGUUUAUAUCUUGAAACAUUUUUGUCUUCCAAUGACUUUGAAGAAGAUCUAGAAAGGAGAAAAAAAUCUUUUGUAGUCAUAACUCUCAUUGAAGAAUUUGCAGGAGAAAAGUCUUGCAGGAUAGUUUGAAUUUCUUUGAAUAAAUAGUGCCUUGAGAUGAAAUAAAAACAAAAUAUCUUGUCAUUUCGAAAUUUGAAAAAAUUGAAAAAUACUUGACUUGACAUAUUUGGAAUCUGUUUUAACACCCCCACCAAAGCCUAAAUCAGAGGCAUCGAUUUCUACAAUAAUUGAAGUAGUAGGAUCAUGAAUUGAUAAGAAUGGAAUAUUUUUGGCAGCUUUUUUUAUUUUUUAAACAGCUAAUGUGCACUCGUGAGACCGUGGGUCUGGGCUCUUUCGUAGUCUUUUGAAAAGAGGAACACAAAUCAACCUUAUCUCUUUGAUAAAGUCACAGACAUAAUUGACACAACCAAGGAAUCUUUUAAGAGAAGAUAUGUCUAAGAUUUCAUCAGAAAAUUUUUCAUUAAAAUCUAGACUUCUCUGAAUUGGAAUAAUUGAACCAUUUUGAAUAUUAUAACCUAAAAAUCUUAUCUUAGUUUGACAUAAAACAAUCUUUUUAGCAGAAACUGCUAAACCAUUUUCUUGAUAAUAUGCAUGAAUGUAUUGAUAUGUUUAAAAUGUUGUUCUAUACUUUCAGAAAAUAUAAGAAUAUCAUCAAUGUAAACAAUGAUAAAAUUUGAAAAAGGAUUGAAAAUAUCAUUCAUAAUUUUUUGAAAUUCAGAAGGAGCGUUCUUGAGACCAAAAGGCAUAACAUUUCAUUCGUAUAGAUCGAAAGGAACAUUAAAUGUAGUUUUGUACUUAUCUUCUUUUUUAAUUUGAAUCUACCAAAAACCUGACUUCAUAUCAAAUUUUGAGAAGAUGACAGCUUUGAAUAAUCUAUUCAAAAGAUCUUUCUUUUGAGGAAGUGGAUAUCUAAUCCAUUGAAGAGCAUUAUUGAAAAGCUUGUAAUUGAUAACAAGACGUGGAGUCCUGUGUUCAAUUUCAACCGAAUUAUUGACAUAGAAUGCUGAGCAAUUCCAAGGAUAUUUGCUCGGACGAAUUAAAUCUUUGUAGUGGUUUAUCACCAUAGGCACUGUUUAAGUAGGAGAACCUCAUUUGAUUUCAGGAUGUCUACUGAAUAGACGUUGGUCAACCCAUUGUUAGUCGGGGAAGACGUGUUAGGGUGGUCCCGUUCAUAGGCUUGGUAAGAAUUAGUCUAUCUUAUUUAACUGUUUUUAUUGUUGUAAAUUUUUAUAAUUUCAUUGAAUUUAAUUAUGUCUUCUUUUACAAAUUGGUUUCAGAGGUCUAAAAAUAGAUCUGAAAAUAUUUCAAAUAUUUUUCAAAAUGAAGAAGAAAUUCAUCAAUCAUCUGCAUCAUUAGCAUCAAAUGAUUUCAAUAGUCAUGAUCUUCAAAUUGCUCAAAUAGAACGAAGAUUGCAUAACUGGAUAAUUUCAAAGGUAGAAAAGAAUUCUAUCUAUGAAAUUGGAAAGUUUCAUUUUACUCAAAAUUAUGUUAUCAAAACUUUUGAACAAAUAUUAUUUAUAAAAAAUCAAAAUGCUCAUGUAAAUCUAUUUUCAAAAGAAUCAAUUGAAUCCCACGGGAAGAAAUUGAAAUAUCUUCAUGUUGGAUUAGUACCUAGAAUUACUUCUUGAUCUAAAUCUUUUACAAGAUAAAAAAUAUUUUUGAACAAAUAUUUGAAUUACAAACAUGAACUUUUGAAAGUUUAUAUUGAAUAUUGAGUUUCUUACCACUAACACCAUAAAGACGCUUAGUAGUUUUUUCAAAAUAUUUUGUAGGUAUCCAUCCUUCACAGGUAUAAUUUUGAUUCGCUCCUCCAAAAUCAAUAAGGACUCUAGACGUGAAUUUGAAUUCUUUGUUGACUAUAAUAGUCAUAUUGCAGUACCAUUUUUGAAAUUGAAUAUGAUUAACAACAUUAAUCAUUUCUUUUUCAGAUUGAAUAUUUGAAGGAAUGAGAGUAUUUGAUUCUUCACCAGAAGAACUGGAAGAAGAUGAAUAAGGAGUCUUUGAAUUUAACUUCUUAUCUUGAGUUUUGAAAAGAGAAACUUCCAUUCUAACAUCUUUAAUUUGACGUUCAAGAAUAGAAAUUUGAGAUUUUAUGGAAUUGACUUCUGAUUUUAAAUCAGAACUAGAAGAUUUUGAAAUUUCAAAACGAUUUAAAACUUUUUGCAUAUUGAAAUGUUCAGCUUUUGAAUUUGAAGGAAAAAGGGAAUUAAACUUAUUUUUGAGCUCUGGAUCUUCAAUUUGAUCAACAAUCUUUUUAAUAAGUUUUUCUUGUUUAGUAAGAACAUUUAUAGUUUUACAACCACAAAGUUUUUUACUUUGACUUGAAGAGGAUUGAGAGUUUGAACUAGAUUCAACAUCUGAAUCUUCUUGAUGUUCAUAAACAUGUUCCAACUCUGAGUUUAACUCAUUUUCAAAACUGGAAUUUGAAUCAAUAAGAUUGAGAAGUUAAAGCUUAAUAUCUUCAUCAAUUUGAAGAUUAUUAAUCUUGCCUUUGAGAGGAUACUUAUUAGAAUAAUGCCCAGAUUUUUGACAUUUCCAACAAGUAACAUUGCUUUUUUCUUGAAAAUCUUUUCUUUUAAAAUUUCUUUUUGUAAUAAUUUUUUGAAUAAGAAGGUCUUUGAAAAUACUUUUCUUUUGAAUAAACUUUUCUUUUUGAAAAAUCUUUUCUUUUCGUUUUUGAAGGAGGAAUAAUUUUCUCAAAUCCAUAUUGUUCACAAAAUGAUCAAAGUUCUUUGCGACUAAUCUUUCUAUUUGCAAUUUGGAUUUAAGCUUGAGUUCAUUACAGAGAGCUAAUCCUUCUUUGUUAAUGAAGCAAAUCAGUUCUCCGUGUGAAAGAACAUCAUAAGGAAUAUUAUUUGAAUGUUUAUUUUUGAUAGAAUUUUUGACUUUGUCAGAAAAUAAUUUUGGAAGUUCAGAUAAAAAUCUUUAUUUUCAAUAAGUUUGAUUACAAUUUUUUUGUAAAAAUAUACGUGAUAAAAACAUAUCUUCAUACCAACGAAAAUCUUGUAAACUUGAACAAUUUAGAGUUAAUAAAAUACUUGAAAUUUUUUCUAAAACAUCUGUUAGAGAUCCAAUGAAAUGUUUAAUAAUACAAUAAAUUAUUGUAUUAAAACAAUCAUUUGAACCAUUAGGUUUUAGAGCUCGAGUAAUUUGUAGUUUUCUUAUUCAGUAAUAUAAUUGAACCACCAAUUAUUAAUUUGACCAGAAAAUCCUUGAAUAAUAUCAUUUGUUGCCUCAAUUGGAGAAAUUCCUUCUUGAAUAUAGGCGUUAUAACAAGCACCAAUACUUUCAAGAAUUUCAAAAUUUUAAUAUUCAGUUAAACCAUCUAUAUUCCAGAUAGUUAUUCCUGAAUAAAAAAAUGUUGUAGGCAUUUUAGCCUUUUGUUUGAAAAGUAAAUCUAGAGGAGUAAUUUUUUGGAUAAUAAGGAGGAAUUCUUGAAAAUUGAACUUUUUUGUCUUGAAGCUUAUUGAUUUGAGGAACUUCAUCAUCAAUAAAUUGAGAAACAAUCUAUCUUAUUUAACAGUUUUUGUUGUGGUAAAUUGUUAUAAUUUCAUUGAAUUUAAUUAUGUCAUCUUUUUCAAAUUGGUUUCAGAGGUCUAGAAAUAGAUCUGAAAAUGUUUCAAAUAUUUUUCAAAAUGAAGAAGAAAUUGAUCAAUCAUCUGCAUCAUUAGCAUCAAAUGCUUUCAAUAGUCAUGAAUUUCAAAUUGCUCAAAUAGAACGAAGAUUGCAUAACUGGACAAUUCCAAAGGUAAAAAGGAAUUCUAUCUAUGAAAUUGGAAAGUUUGAUUUUACUCAAAAUUAUGUUAUCAAAACUUUUGAACAAACAUUAUCUAUAAAAAAUCAAAAUGCUCAUAUCAAUCUAUUUUCAAAAGAAUCAAUUGAAUCCCACGGGAAGAAAUUUAAAUGUCUUCAUAUUGGAUUAGUUCAAAUUGUUGUCAAACAUUUGUUUAGAUUUUGGUUAGACAUUCCAAUUCUCUUAACUCUUUGAGAUAAGAAUUAUAUAUUCUAAAGUCAAAUCUAGAAAGUGAUCCAAUUUGUUCAAAUUGUUAUCCAAAAUUUUCAAUUAAUCUUAAUGAUGGAGCUAUUCUUAAUGCUCUAAACCUCCAUAUUCAAACCAAAAAUCUCGAUUUCGAUAAUCGUUCAAAUGCUUUUGCUGUAAUAUAUAGGAUAUAUUACGAGCUCAUAAAUACUCAACUCAAUAUUGGUGCUUUACGUUCAUCUCCUAAAAAUGAAAGUCUUUUAAUUGAAUGUAAUCCUUUUCAUUCAAAUACCAUGAUUCCCAAGAGAAUUCCUUGAAAUCUUCAAAAUCGUGGACUAGAAUGAAAUUUUGAAAUGUUCAAAAUCCUAUUCCUGCUCCUUUUCAAACAAUUCCAAACCAAAUUCUUACUUUUCCAGAUGGAAACGUCAAAAUGACUUUCAAAGGAUUUUCCACUAUCAAAGAUCUUAAAAGAUCUGAAGAUAAACCUAGAUCUUCUUAUCAAUCUGUAAGAUUUUCAACAUCUUCUCUUUCAAGUGUUGAUUUUACUCCAAAUAUUCCAAAACCUCAAUAUUUUGAAAGAGAUACAGAAAAAAAAAACACAACAACCUGCUUCUCCAACUUUUUUUGAUAUGUUUUCUACUCAAAGUGAAAGGCUUGAUCAUCAAACUAAUGUUAUUUCUUCUAGGAUUGACAGAAGAAAUGAAUUCAAAAUUGAUCAAACUUCUGAUGUUAAAAGUUUUCGAAAAAUAUUUCAUCAAAGUUUUUCAAAAAAAAGAACAAGAAUCUUAUUGGGAAGAAUUUGAAGAAUUCCAUGAAGAUUUAAGUUUUUAUGAAUGGGUUUAUUUCAAAGUUUUCAAUAAAAAACCUACUUUUUCAAAUAUUUCUUCAAAAUCAAAGAAAGAAAAAUCUAUUCAAAUUACUAAUAUUCCACAGAAGACUACAGAAGACUUGGAAAACUCCUUUUGGGGAGAAUAUUCAAUCUUAUCAUCCUCCUUCUUGCUUCUCCUUUCAAAAAGGUAUCUGAAAAACGACUUGAUGAAUCUCAAGUUAUUGUCAAAGAUAUCAAAAAUAUUCAAGCUCAAAAUAACUACACUAAUGUAGUUCUUCAAUCUAUCUGCUCUCAGUUUAACAGAAUUGAAAUAAAUUCUGAAUCUGAAACAUCAUCCUCUUCAAAAGGUAUUAAGCAAAUAGAGACAAUUUUAAUUAAAAGGCAUGAGGCUAAACCCAAAAUUGGUAUCAAAACUGAGAUUAAUGUUCUAAAAGAACUUGCUACUCAGUUAUCAAAAAUAUCAUCAUCCUCUACCUCAAAUGACAUUAAACUAUUGACGAUAUUGAAUCUCAAUUUAUUAAUGAUAAAGUUCCUCAAAUCAAUAAGCUUCAAGGCAAAAAAAUUUCAAUUUUCAAGAAUUCCUCCUUAUUAUCCAAAAAAUACUCUUCCAUAUUUACUUUUCGAACAAAAGGCAAAAAUGCCUACAACAUUUUUUGGUUCAGGAAUAACUAUCUGGAAUAUAGAUGGUUUAACUGAAUAUCAAAUUUUUGAAAUUCUUGAAAGUAUGGGUGCUUUUUAUAAUGCCUAUAUUCAAGAAAGAAUUUCUCCAAUUGAGGCAACAAACAAUAUUAUUCAAGGAUUUUCUGGUCAAAUUAAUAAUUGGUGGUUCAAUUAUAUUACUGAACAAGAAAAACUGCAAAUUGCUCAAGCUCUAAAACCUGAUAGUUCAAAUGAAUGUUUUAAUACAAUAAUUUAUUGUAUUAUUAAACAUUUCAUAUAUAUAUAUAUAUACAGCAAAUAAGCUUGUGCAAUAUUUCUUAUAGUAUUAGAGUUUAAUACAUAGUUAUCAAAUCGUGGCACCCUUCACCAUUCUUGAAAAGCUUAUGAAUCUCCCUUUCAGACUUUAAUAAUUCUAAGAAUCAAGAAAUCAAGAUUCAGUAAUUAUUAUGCUAUUUUAUUAAGAAUCUCGGGUUUUUUUGUCAGGAAUUUACUUAACAUGCUUGCGAAAUUUAAACAAAUAUUUCAAUUCCCACAAAGGAUCUUCUUUUGUUAGAAAGAAACUGCAAUAAGAAUUAUACCUUUGUUGAAUUCUACUAAUUCCUUUGCUUACCUUGAACAUGAACCAUCACGAUUUGCAAUCCACCACUUUUCAAUUAUCCAACCUCCAAUGAAAAUCAGCACAAAGAACAAGAUUAGAGAAUUAAGGUUUCUCUUUUUUUGCACUAGCAAAAUAAUAAUUGGGUUGUAUGAUUUCUCAAACCCUAAUAUCUUAUUAAUGGAAGUCCAAAUGGGCUUGGAAUUAAACUUAAUCACGAUUAAUUAUUCUAAUUAAUUAAACAUGACCUAUAGCUCAAUUAAUUAAUUGUUGAACAUUUGUAAAUUAAUUAACUAAUAUUUUUAUUCUUUUAACUCUCAUUUUUUAUAUGAUCCAUUAGAUUUCCAACCAUGAUGCCCAGUGACUUAAAUUAUUAUUUCGAUCUAAUUAAAAUAACAUAAAUUAAAAUACCCCUUUUGUAAUUUAUUACUAAUAUACAUCUUUUGUCUCAUAUUGACAUCUAUAAAUGUGUCAAAAUUAUACAGAAUCCUCAAAAUUUUGGUAACAUAUGACAUGUAAAAAAAUUGGCAUCCAAAAUGGAGUUGAUAUUUGUAAAACAUGUUGCAAUUAUAGUGGCAAAGAUUAAUUGGAAGUCCGGUUUCAAGCACAACGCAUUUGAACAUGCACAUAUUAAAGAGUUGCAAAGCGAGACUAAUCGAUCUCGACCUGAAACAAAUCAAAUUAGUGUUUGUCGAUUCUGAUUUUACUCUUUUUACCUUUGUAUAUUCACAGAAAAGAUUUUGUGAAGGAAUAGCUGCAUCAGAGAUGCCACUUAUGAUGAUAAACUUAAUACACUUUUCUCGGCUCGUGCAGAAUUAUCUCCAACACAUGUAUACUUCUUAAUGUAUACAUACUCUUCGUUCAGAUACUGUGAUAUUAUUUAAUAAAAGAAAACAAGUUUCUUUACUACAAUUUUGAAAUGUUAUAUAUAUUAUUACUUUCAUUGUCCUUGAAUUAGAAGUAGAGGAAAAAAGGGAAUUAGUGAGGCAUAUAUAUUUAAAGCCAAAAAGCAGUAGUUAAACAGUCAUUUUGAUAGCUUUAGAAACAUCAUGGUUUAUAAAUGAUGUCAAAAUUUUAUACUGAAUAAUAGACAGUUGCAUAUAGAAGAGUGUAUUUAUAUUGAAAUUUUAGAGAAAGAGAGACAGUAGCAUUCAGAAGAGUGUAUAUUGAAAGAGCCAGUCUUCAAGUACAGAAGAAAUAGCUACAGAACAUUCGCAGCACACACACAUGCAAUUGGGGGGUGGUUUUUUUUUUUUUUUAAUAUAAAACUCACAUGGGCUCACCCGAUGUGAGAUUUCUGUUUUUCUUCUGACAAUGAAUAGUUCUGUACAAACAGAAUUAUUCAAAUUUGAGAGAGAGGGGGGGCCCUCAGCUCUUAUGUGUCCUAGUAAAGUCCGACGAUUGAGAACUUGAAAGAGAACAGUCAAAAAAGCAUAAUCAAAACGACUGUAGAAACUUAAAGAAGAGCAGUCCAGUGUGCAUCACUUCCUCUUCUGUCUUUUUGACAUUUGCCUCCUCUUUAUUCACUUUACACUUGGCAUAAAUUUAAAUAAAUAAAACCUGAUUAAGUAACCAUAUAUGGAGACUGUUUUAUAUAAAUUUUUUGAGAACAAAUUUAUCAAAAAUAAUUUAUAAUUCCUACAUAUAAAAAAUUACACUUCAAAAUUACAAACUUGUCAAAUUAUUUCAAAAUUUAGGUAUUAAUUCCAAAUAAUAAUAUAAAUAUAUAUAAUUGGAAUUAAUUAUUUCCAGACAAUAAAUAAUAUCUCCACCCUACCCAUCCUCUACCAAAUUAAUAAUAUAUCAAUUAAUGAUAUCUCAUGAAACCUGUGGACCCACCCGCACCCCAUCUACCCUCUGUAAGAAAUUUUCAAAAAUUGAAUUUUUUUUUUUUUGGAGAUUACAUCUCCACCCCACCUUGAGGACCACACCAUACUCCACCCAACCCACACUACCCCACUCCAUGGAAUUAUCUCAAAUUGUAACUAGUUGUUUUAUCUGUGAUUAGAUUUUAUUUAUUUAUUUUUUUUUUUUUUGUGACCAGAGCUAUAUUAUGUAACUAACAGUGACCAAAUUUGUCUUUAAUGUGAUUAUAUGUGACCAUAUAAUUUGUGAUUGUAUGUAGUCAAAUUACUAACCUGUGUCAUAUAUAACUUAAUUGUGACCAAAUUGUCUUCGGUGGAUUGUCUAAUUUGUGACUGUAUGUAACCCAGUCAUUAACCUGUGUUAUCUAUGACUAAUCGUGACUAACUAUGACCAAAUUGUCUUUAGUGCGGCUAUCUGUAACCAGGCCCAGCAAUGUGCUCACACUGCGCUGCAACUUUGUGCUUACAUCAUCUCAGAUCAAUGUUGAAGCAGCGAGGAAGAGAAAGACGAUGGCUUCACAACAUCACAGAUCGAAAGUAAUAGUGCUCAUAUUGACAUAGUGGUGACAUCGUGGCAAUGGCAUCAUCAUCAUUGAGCACCAUAUCAUAACGUGAAGAAAGAUGGUAGAGAGUUAAGAGAUAUGGUGAAGAGAGAGAGAUGAAAUUUGAAGGUGCCGAGAAUUGAAAUUUGGGGUGGGGUUCUGUUUGCUAUAAUAAAUUUGUAUUAACGCCUAAUUUAUGAAUUUAAAAUUAAUCUCCUUAUUUAUGAAAAUUAGUCUUCAAAUUUAGGUUUCUAGACAAUUUUCCCUUCUAGAAGAGGAUAGGUGUUGUUUGGGCUUGGUAAUGGUAGUGUUGUGCUAAGAUGUGUUGGGUUGGGCUUGUUGUAAUGGAAGAAUGUGUUUAGGGCUCUUUGGUUAGAGGGCUUCGAUUUGGUUGGGUAAAUAUUGGAUGUGGUCAGUGGGCUGGGUUUAUUGGAUGUUGGUUGUAGCUGUAACAAGUAAAGCAGCAAUUCUGUAAUUGAAUUUCUCGAUUUGUUUUUUAUUUUUUUGAAGGAACUAGAAAUAGCAAAUUGCAAUUUUAGCCCAGUUUGACAAUCAUUAUAUUUAAAUUCUUUUUUUAUAUACUCAUUUUCAAGCACACAUUCGUAUAAUAAAAUAUUUUGCAAGUAAAUUUAAAAAAAUUUCCUACUUUUUAACUGUGAAUUCUCUUAAAAAACAUUAUUUGAAACUUAGUUUUUCCAAAACAAUGGUUAUCAAACCUGUGCUUAAUAUAAAGAGCAAAGGCGGUGAAAGAGUUUCACCAAUUUUAGAAAUAGUUAACUUGCUUUGCAUUUAUUAUAAGCAAAUCUUCACUUUUUGUUAAAAUUAUAAUUAAAUUAUGGUAGAGUAUGCGAGAAUACUUUAAAAUGUGGUGCAAAUUUUUUAAUUGGCAUCUAUUCUAAGCAAAUCACUACUUUUGAAUAAAGUUAUAGGAUAUGAGAGAAUACUUUAAAAAUAUUAUUCUAAUUUUUAAUUGACGUUUAUUCUAAGCAAAUUACUACUUUUCGUUAAAAGUUAUUCUUAAAUUCUAUGAUAGAAUAUAUUAGAAUACUUUAAAAUGAUAUGCUAGUUCCAAAUGCCACUGCUUUUGAAAUUCUAAAUCUUCAAGUUACAUUAUUUGAUUGCUUUUAAUUGACCAAACUAUGUCUUUUCUUGGGUGCCAAAUUCUUAGAAAUAUCUCAGAGAAUCUUUAAUCUUUAUGGAUUCUCUCCUUGUCUCCUUAAUGUGAUACAAGGUUUCAAUGCCAAUGGAAUCAUCAACUAGUUGCAUUCAUGCCAUUUCUUCUGACUUGAUGAAGUUUAUGAAUAUUAUGGUUUUUCUAAUACUAGCUGAUAACUAAUAAAAGAAACAGAAUUAAAAAAUAUUACGAAAAUGAAAAAGUGUUGGGUGUAUUUCUAGAUAUGUGAAGGAAUAUUGUCAAAGUGGAUUACAACAAUCGGGGCCAGAAUCAACACAUGAAUUUGUUCUUCCCAAAUUUCCUCUAUUUUCUAUUCAAGAUAUGAGUUUAAGUUUGAUACGAUUCCCACUUCCCAUGUGGCUGGUGCAUGAGCUGCAAUUCAGACUUUAAAAAUUAUAAGCAUAAAAAGAACACAAUUUAGUAAUUUAUGCAGUUUUGAUUAGGAAUCUUGAGUAGUUCAAUUUGAACCUAUGCAAAGUUAAAUAAGUAGUAAUUUUUAUUUAUUAUUUAUUUAUUAUUAUUAUUUUUAUUUUUUUUUUGCAUAUAUUCUGAGCAACUUUUGGUUGAAGUUAUAAUUAAAAGUUUGUAGUAGGGUAUACAAGAAUAUUUUAAAAUGUGAUGCUAAUCUUUUAAUUUUUCUCUGUUUUAAGCAUAUGUUCAACUUUGGUUAAAGUUAUACAUAAAUUUUGUGUGGUAGGUUAUACGAGAAUACUUUAUAUCGUGAUGUUAAUCUUUUACUAUGCAUUUAUCUAAGCAAAAUUUCAUUUUUUUUAAUUAAUGUUAUACUUAAAAGUUUAUGAUAAGGAACACAAGAAUAAUUUAAAAUGUGAUACUGAUUUUUUAAUUUGCAUUUAUUCUAAGCAAAUCUUUGCUUUUGGUUAAAGUUCUACAUGAAAAACAAUGAUAGGAGAUAUGAGAAUACAUUAAGCCCCUAUUUGGUGGUCAUUACUUUCAAAAAACAAUCAUUUAAAUGGUAAUUUUUAAGAGAAUGUAUGGUUAAAAAAUAAGAAAACAUUUCGGGUUUAUGAUACAGGAAAAUCACAGCAAACAAACUGAUUCUUAAAAAAAAAAUGACAGAUACCAGAUAUUAGUUAUGACCACUCAUAGACAAUUGCCUCAAAGUAUAGAGUAGGAUUAAGGCUCACCACUUCAAGGAAAGGGCUAGAGAUCCAGAACACUCAAAGAAGAAAACUCUUCUAAAAAAAACAACCAAGUCUUUAACUUUUUAUUCUCCAAACAUGAAUCAUUCAAAGAUAAAAUAGGGCCUGUCUUUAUAGGCAAAUAAAAUUAAACACAGUUAUCUCCUAAACUUAGAAUGUAAUAUUUUAAACUUAGAAAGAAAAAUAAUACUAAACUUGGAGAUAAGAAAAUCCCAGAAUUGGUUGUUCAAUAUUCUUCUUUAUCCUGUCUCGAAUCCUUCCUUAAUUGCCUCUUUGACACUCGUGUCAGUUUACAUGUAAAAUAUUUUAUUAUAUAAAUGUAUAGUUGAAAAUGAGUAUGUAAAAAAAAGAGUUUGAAAAUAACGGUUGUCAAACAAGGGGUAAAAUGUGAUGCCAAGUUUUUUAAUUUGCAUCUAUUCUAAGCAAAUCUUCACAUUUGGUUAAAGUUAUUAAAAUCCUAUGGUAAGGUUAAAGAGAAUACUUUAAAAUGUAAUGUUAAAAUUCUUUAAAUAUGCGCCGAUUCUAAGCAAAAUCUUCACUUUUGGUUUUAGUUAACUAUGUUAGAUAAUUUAAUGCUUUAAAUUACAGGAUCUUUCAUGUUAAAUCAUCGAGAAAUGUAAGAAUUAAAGCGGAAGCAUACCUGAAUCAGACAUGGUUAAUGCAAUAUGAAUUUCGCGGUAUGAUAUUCCAAAUCUACACGCAGUCUCCUUUUUCUCUCUAUGAUGGGAUGCAGUAGAGAAUGAAUAAUACGUUGCAUGUGAUCUGGGGACCAUAACCUAUUUAUAUAGGGAUGCCCUUUGACUUAAUUCGGCUCAUCAUAGAAUUAGGAUUUGGGCUCGGUCUCUACACAUAUGUAAAUCCAUACUUUAACUGGAUACAUUAAAGCCCAAAAUCGAAACCUCAUUAGAUUAUUUUAAUUGGGCUCAACCGAAUUCGAUAGCCUAUAAUUUAACACACAAUUAUUCACACAUACAAACCCAUCUUUAAUUAAAAAUUCUUACAAACUAUACUUAAAUUCUAUGGUAGGAUUUACGAUAAUACUUUAAAAUGUGAUGCUAACUCCAUUUUUUUUUUUAAUAUGCAUUCUAUGCAAAUCGAUACUUUUAGUUAUAGUUAUAAUAAAUUAUAUGUUAGUGGUUACAAGAAUACUUUAAAAUAUGAAGUUAAUUUUUUAAUUUGGGUUUAUUCUAAGCAAAUCUUUACUUUUGGUUAAAAAUAUACUUAAAAUUCUAUGGUAGCGUAUAUGAGAAUACUUUAAAAUGUGAUGCUAACUCCAUUUUUUUUUUUAAUAUGCAUUCUAUGCAAAUCGAUACUUUUAGUUAUAGUUAUAAUAAAUUAUAUGUUAGUGGUUACAAGAAUACUUUAAAAUAUGAAGUUAAUUUUUUAAUUUGGGUUUAUUCUAAGCAAAUCUUUACUUUUGGUUAAAAAUAUACUUAAAAUUCUAUGGUAGCGUAUAUGAGAAUACUUUAAAAUGUGAUGCUAACUCCAUUUUUUUUUUUAAUAUGCAUUCUAUGCAAAUCGAUACUUUUAGUUAUAGUUAUAAUAAAUUAUAUGUUAGUGGUUACAAGAAUACUUUAAAAUAUGAAGUUAAUUUUUUAAUUUGGGUUUAUUCUAAGCAAAUCUUCACUUUUAGUUAAAGUUAUACUUAAAUUCUAUGGUGGGUAUAUGAGAAUACUUUGAAAUGUAAUGCAAAUUUUUUAAUUUGCAUUUAUUCUAAGCAUAUCAUCACUUUUGAUUAAAGUUAUACUUAAAUUUUACGGUGGUUAUACGAGAAUACUUUGAAAUGUGAUGUUAAUUCUUCGAUUUGCAUCUAUUCUAAGCAAAUUCACUUUUAAUUCUAAGAUGGCUUUAAAAUGAAAUGCUAAUUCCAAAUACCGCCCCUUUUAAAUUUCUAAAUAUUCACUUUGCAUUAUUAAUUACGUCUUUUCUAGGGUACCAGAUUCCAAGAAAUGUCUCAAAGCAUCUUUACUCUGUAUGGAUUCUGUUAAGAUUUGAGGUCCAUCUUAAUAAGGUCAACCUUAUUAAGAGGAGUGUCCCAAUUCUUUAUAUAUUGGUCAUUAUUUCGAUAUUUUACCGAUGUGGGAUUAUAUUCCCUUAACAUGCCCCCGCAAGAUGGUGGCUCAUUUGAGCAGACCAAUCUUGAAAUCCGUGUGCUCAUUUUUAGAGACUUAAUCGGAUCGAAUCGCUCGUUGGGGCUUAAUGGGCUCUGAUACCAUGUUAAAGUUUGGGGUCCAUCUUAAUAAGGUCAACCUUAUUAAGUGGAGAAGUCCAAUCCUUUAUAAAUAGGUAUUUAUUUUCAUCAUUAUUCAAUGUGGGAUAUAAUACCUUAAUAGACCCCCUCAAGAUGGUGUGAUAAGAUGAUGGCUCAUUUGAUCACACCAAUCUUGAAAUUUAUGGGUUGACUCACCUUAUUAAGAUGGACCCCAAAUCUUAACAGAUUCUCUCCUUGUCUCCUUAAUGGGAUACAAGGUUUCAAUGCGAAGGGAGACUUGAUGAAGUUUAUAAAUGCUGUGAGGACCAUCAAUCUGCUAGCAUAACUUGCAAACUAGAAAAUUUGAUAAAAAGAAGUGAAAUGGCCGACGUGGUAAUUUCUUUUGCUGUACGAAACACACUACCAAUACUACAGGAAAAGCUGCGAGAGGCGGGAGAAGCUGAGGCCGAGGUUGAGAACAUCAGAUAUGAGUUGGAUCGAAUGACGGCAUUUCUCAAAGAUGCUGAUAGUGUCAUGGGGGAUAGGGACGAGAGGAAGGAAAAUUGGGUCAAAGAAGUUCGCAAUGUUGCAUACGACACUGAAGAUGUUCUCGACAGAUUUGUACUCGUGAUGAAGAAAAAUAAGGGCAGUGGGUGGUCCAAUACUGUUCAUAAUUUUUUAAAUUGCGCCCUAAAUAUAAGAUUCCUUUCUGAGAUUUUUUCUGAUAUCAAAAGCAUUAAUACUCGUGUCAACAGUAUUAAAGACGGAUGUCAGAGAUAUAUUGAUCUUCCAGGAGGUUCAAAUUCAAAUGUUGAUGCCAGCAUUGACCUUGCAAAUGAUACUAGAUGUGAUGCCCUUUGGGAAGAAGCUGAUCUUGUGGGAAUUGAGGGACCUAAAAGCGAGUUAAUGAGAUUGGUCAUGGAAGGUGGUUUAGAUCUGCGUGUAAUUUCAGUGGUAGGAACGGUAGGUGUGGGGAAAUCAGCUCUUGUUAAGAAAGUGUAUGAUGAUCCAGCAGUGAAGAAGAGCUUCAAAAGUCACGCUUGCGUAGCUGUCCCUCAAGCCCUUUCCGACAAAACAAAUAUUGAAGAGCUUUUAGAGGACUUGGUUAAGCAACUCUAUCGUGAAACCAAGGGAGCAGUCCCUCCUGAAAUGAACACCAAGAAUAAAAAUCAUCUGAAGGCGGGGAUUUACCGAUUCUUACGAAAAACAAGGUAUGUGAUUGUAUUUGACGAUGUACGGAGCACCCUAGAAUGGGACGCUAUUAAAAGUGCAUUUCCUGACAACUCUAAUGGCAGUCGUUUAAUUGUAACAACACGUGAUAAUGCUGUAGCUUCCUAUUCUAGUGAAAUGGAAGAGAAUAUAUAUAGGCUGCAUCCCCUGACUCAAGAGCAAUCUUUGACACUGUUUUGUCAAAAGGCGUUUCAAGGGAGACCGUGUCCUUCCAAUCUGGAGGAAAUUACUAAUAAUAUCUUAGAGAGAUGUGGUGGGCUGCCGCUUGCUAUCAAGUCUGUUGGUGGAACUCUGGCCACAAAGAGCAGCAGAUCGGAAUGGGAGACGGUUUAUCAAAGUCUUGGAGCUGAAAUGGAAGGCACUAAAACACUUAAUACGAUCUUGCUGCUUAGCUUCAAUGAUUUGCCUUACCAUCUAAAAUACUGUUUGUUAUAUAUGGCCAUAUAUCCAGAAUAUUACUUGAUAAAGUAUAACUCCUUGAUUCGCCUAUGGAUAGUGGAAGGUUUCGUGAAUGAAAAAGGAGGACAAACAGUGGAACAAGUUGCUCAAGGCUACCUAAAGGAACUUGCCAACAAAAACUUGAUCCGAGUGGUGAAGCGUAAAGAGAAUGGAAACAUAAAAUCUUGCCGCAUAAAUUACUUUCUCAGGGGGAAUCUUCUAGAAAGAGCAAAACGUCAGAGUUUCUUGAUGACAGUCGGCAAAAAUUCCAAUGGUCUAUGGGACAAAAACGCUCGUCGGUUAGCAAUCCAUGGCCAUUGGGAAAACUUUAAUCCUCAA